AGGCAGUAGCCAAUUACCACAAUAUUAAGACCAUAAUAUUGGAAAUAGAAAAAUAAAAACCAUUAUAUAUAGCAAGUUUUAGUAGAAGCUUUGCAAUUCAAGUAGAAGUGUGUUUUACUUGUGAACUAAGAAAAAAAUGGCUUCCUCUAUGAUGUCCUCUUCAGCUGUGACUACAGUUAACCGCGUCUCUUCGGUACAAUCCGGCGCGGUAGCUCCAUUCGUUGGACUUAAGUCCAUGGCUGGCUUCCCAGUUACAAAGGUCAACAAAGACAUUACCUCCAUUACAAGCAAUGGCGGAAGAGUAAACUGCAUGCAGGUGAGAAAAAACAUGCCUACUAUUUUAGUUUAUUUGAGUAUAUUAUUAGCAUAAUGGAAACAAUUUAUGACAUGCCCGUAAACUGUUUUCUUCUUAUAUUUUCAUAAGCUCUUCAGGAUAGUUUAUGAAAACAGCUUAUAGAUUAUGUGAAAAAAGUUUGACUUUCUUUUGUCAAUUGUUAUAGAAAUAACUUAUUCAUAAGCACUUAUAGAUUUGUUGGCAAAAGUACACAAGUUUGUUGACCCUUUUUUUUCAAUUUUAGGUGUGGCCUCCUAUUGGCAAGAAGAAGUUUGAGACUCUUUCAUAUCUUCCACCAUUGACCAGAGAACAAUUGGCGAAAGAAGUUGAAUACCUUAUAAGGAAGGGAUGGGUUGCUUGCUUGGAAUUCGAGACCGAGGUCUAGUUUUAAUUUAUUUUCAAUGCCUUUUCAACGAACAUAUAUAUAGUUUUGAACUUAGAUGGUUAAUCGGUUUGUCAUGGUUAAUCUACUUGCAGAAAGGAUUUGUGUACCGUGAGAACCACAGUUCACCAGGAUAUUAUGACGGACGUUACUGGACAAUGUGGAAGUUGCCUUUGUUUGGAGCAACUGAUGCUUCUCAAGUGUUGAAGGAGCUUGAUGAAGUUGUUGUUGCUUACCCUAAUGCCUUUGUCCGUAUCAUCGGAUUCGACAACGUUCGUCAAGUUCAAUGCAUCAGUUUCAUUGCACACACACCUGCGGUCUACUAAAUUUGAGUGUUAAAUCACUCUCAGCUGCCAUUGGAAGAACAUCUUUUUCUCUCAAUUUGUUCUGAUUGUAAUGUCUUCCUUUGUUUUUUGGUUUUCGCUUUCGGAUUUCAAAAUGCAAAUGUAUGGAUAAGAGUUAAUAAAUGAAAUGGUACCUUUUUCAUUCUCAAGUUAGUAGUAUAUGUUGUUUUCCUUGUAAUGGCUUGAACUUGAAACUUUAAAUAACAAAGGAACUAAUAGUAUGAUAUUAAAGAAAAAAAAAUUGCAUUUCCACCUAAUUCAUUCUCAUCUUUACCAAAAUUAUGCACAAUCAGUACAUCUUUGCAAGAAAUAUUUUUGACAGAAAUUAUGAACUGAAUAUCGCUGGCGCUCCAAAAAGCAAUCCGCGGUCUCAAACUCAUCUUCAUACGCUAAAUUUUAGGCCUUAGCUUUUACUGGUUGGGAAUUGCAAUUCCUUGCAUACCUUCAGCAUGAUUUCCAUUUAUUUUUUAUUUUCUAAUCUUCCUCAUGCAGUAACAGCCAAUUCACUCACUAUAUGGCAGCCAAUUCCAUCUUUUACGAAUGGAAAAAAUACAUUGAAAUUGACCGUCACAUUGUUAUGGAAAAAGUUUCAACCGCAGUUUUUGCAAUGUCGACUGCCUAUUUCCGCAGUCGAUCAAGUGGCAGACCUGCUCACAAAACAUCUUGAACCUACCCACUUUAAUUGUCUACUUGCCUACCUGAAAGUUCUAAAUAUACAAUACUCAUAUAUUAGUAACUAAAUGAAGGGACUAAAUUGUUAGUGCAAGAUGUGUUUCUUGCACUCCUAGGAACUAAAUGAAGGGACUAAAUUUGAAAGAAACACUAUGAGUGAAUUAUAUUGAUUAUGAAAACUGAAUGAAUGAAUACAUGGGAUACAAUUACAAGUAUUUAAAGACUUUUCUAAUUACUUGAAUCACAAGUAAACUAACAAAUACAAACCAACUUGUUAGUUACUAACCACCAACUUCUCUAACAAACUAGUUGUAACUAACUACUACUUUGUAGUUGAAUUAAUCCACAACAAUAAUACCUUAGCUAAAACUUUAGCUUAAACAAUGCAAGGCAUUCUAUAUUGGUGAUUUUAUUCAUGAGUAAAGUGGACAUAUUUCAAAAAGUAAAAGGAAAUGAUACUAAGAGCCAAAACCAGCUAUAACUUAUAGAAGUGUACAUGUUUUAAUUUUUCAAUAAAUCCUAGAAAAAGUGAGAGAUUCUUGAAGAUUAUAAAUAAUGCUGAAGAUAAAUAGAUCAGAAAUUAAUAUAACCUAAUAAACAAGACUUAAAACUUCAAGGUAACGUCUAUCCGGUAAUGGUCUUGAGCAAGUUCAGAUGGUGCGACGACAUGCACCUAUUUUUUAAGGGCACCAAUAAUCUCUUAUUAAUUUUUUAGUCCUAUGAUAAAAGACGUUGUAUGUAAAGGUUGGGGACAGUAAUCGAUUAAAUUAAGUUGUCCUGCUUUAAUUUCUAAUUUUUUUUUAAGAAUGUUUCGAGAGAUGCUAGUAUCGAACCGAGUACCACAAAGUUGAGAGGUGAUUUUCCAAUCAAGUGAUCUCUCUUUUUACUGGCAUUUUUUCUAAGAAUGUUGAUUGUGAAGUGAUGGAUGAUCAAUAAUUUUGCAGAUAUAAAUGCAAAGAUGAUAAAUUUAAAUGAUUUCGAAGAAAAAAAUUUCUCGGAUCAUAUAGAGCAUCCAAAAUCUCAAGGACAACCCUACUUCCACUAUUAAGUUCUUCUUACUUAUCAUAGUCCACCUUUCAUAACUUUGGAAAAAAAAAUAAAGGAAAAGAAUGAAGUUGUAAUUUUAUUGCAUUUUUUAUGGACCUAUACAACCAUUUUUAAGGGAGAAUAAGUGCCAUUCUUUUGGUUGUUCCAAAUGUAAGUAUCUUCCACGGUAUAAUUGAAAUUGGCGUGGAUGUGAUUUAUGUGGUCAGAGGUCGUAUGAGAUGACUGGGUAUAGAGAAUAUGCGUGUGAGGAUCAUUAGCCGAGAGAACAUAUUUAACCGUAAGCUGAAUGUCAUGAAUAUCUAUAUAAGGAACAAGAGACCCAAGAAUUCCAAGAGUUGUCCAUUGACUAAACCAAAAGGAUGAAGACCCAGACUCAGCACGCCAGACAUAUCAUGCUUUAAGAACAUUUUUAGCUUUGAUGAUGGAGGACGAAGUGGGAGAGCCGUUGGGGCUAUCAGUUGCUUGAGAGGAGGUUUGCCAGAAGAUUGAAUCACGUCCAACACUAGCUUUCCUAAAAGGCAAGUAUUCGCCUCCCUAGCUGAUCUGAUUCCAAGGCCACCAAGAGAUUUAGGACGAGAAAUCUUUUUCCAACCUACUAAAUGAAUGCUUUUAUCAUUUGUACUUCUCUAAAUGAAAUUUCUAGUUGUUUGAUCAAUGUUUUCACAAAUGGAUUGAGGAAACCAACUAAUCUGCAUGUAAUAAGAUGGAAUGGAGGAAAUAAUAGAAGAAAGAAGAGUUAAUCUAUCAGGUUUAUUCAACAAUCUAUUAUUCCAGGAUACCAAUCUUGUUUGCAUUUUCUCAAUAAUAAAAUAGAAAUUAUUCCUUUUCACCCUUCCUUUCAGAAUAGAGAAGCCUAAAUACUUAUCAGGAGAAAUAGUGCUUCUAAUUCCUGAAAUAGAUGUCAGCUUGUUAAUCUUAACUUGAGGAAUGUUUGAGAAAUAGAAAGCUCUAGACUUGGACAAAUUAAUUUUCAAUCCUGAAGCAUGACUAAAGCGGUCAAAUAAAUUAGAAAAGACUCUUAGCUGAGAAUUUCUUGCCUUAGAAAAAAGGAGGUCGCCGUCCGCAAAAAGAAGAUGGGACAACUUCGGCCCUAAGUUGGUGAUGUGGAUGGGUUCCCAGUUUCCUCGGAGGACAACGUUGUUGAUGGAAAUUGAGUGUUUUUCCAUACAAAGAAUGAAAAGAUAUGGUGAGAGUGGAUCACCUUGUAUGAGGCCAUGAGUAGGCUUGAAGGGAGACAUCUUUUUCCCAUUCGAGAGGAUAGAGAAAGUGGAGGAGGCAACGCAAUGCAUGAUAAGAUUGGUUGUGAUAGUAGAGAAACUGAAAUCUUGAAGAGUACUCUUGAGGAAGUCCCAGUUGAAAAUAUCAAAAGAUUUCUCAAGAUCAAGUUUGAAAGCAGCAGAACCUUUUUAUUUUAGACCUUCUCAUAAAAUAAAAGAUUUCCUGCAAAACAAUGGCAUUGUCAGAAGUGCUUCUGCCUGGAAGAAAGUUGCUUUGGUAGAGACCAAUAAUAAUAUCAAGAAUCGGUCUUAAAAGAUGGAGUAAGACUUUAGUGAUAAUCUUGUAGACAAUAGUGCAGAGGCUGAUCAGUUUAAAAUGUUUAUAAGUGGUGGAAGGCCGAUUUGACAAGACUAAAAAUAUCGUCCCCAACUAUAUGCCAAUAUUGUUUGAAGAAAAUGCAUUGGAAAUCAUAUGGACCCGGCGCCUUAUAAGGCUUCAUGGAAUUCAGGGAUAUAACAACCUCCUCUUUAGUGAUUAAAAAUGAUAGAGUUCUCUCGGAGGUUAUUAUCAUUAUAUAUUAAAUUCAUAUAAUGGAGGUUGUACAUAACUGAUAAAUUUGAGAGAAUAAGAAUAUGAAAAGUGGCAAAUUUUUAAGAAAGGAUGAGGAGAUUUUUUAGAGAUGCCACACAGGAACAAUAGAAGUCUAAGGUUAAUCGAAGUUUAGAAUUCAAGAUAGUAUAGAAGAUAGAUAGAUAGAUGAUAGGUAACGAUUAUUUAUGGAAUUUUUUGAAAAAUACUCUCUAGAAAAACGAAAUACUUUUUAAUUUUGACCGAAAAAAAAUAAUACUUUUUAUUUACAUUUAUUUUAUACGAUUGAGUCAAACAAAAAUUUAUUCCAUGUUUUCUCGAUAGAUGUAUAUAUAGCACAAUUGAGGUCAUAUUCAUCUCAAACAAUAAUAGUUUUAAGCAAAAGAGUAGUGCUAUAUGUCCCGAUAAGAGAUAAAGUUCUAAGCAUGCAUUUUGGCGAAAUACAAGGGUGGGUGGCCAAUGAAAUAUCGUUGUGAGACAAUCACGAUGUAUGGUCUCGUGAUACUAAGCAAUUUCCAAUUCAAAAAUGGAGGUCUCACUCUACGAUAGAGUUUCAAUCAACCCUUUUCUCGAUUAAUGCAUUUCGAUUUUAGUUCAAAAUUAUUUGUUGUAGUCUUGAAUUGAUUUUUAAUUUUUUUUCUUCAGGUUUUACAUCAAAAAAUCUCACGGCGUUCGCUUCCUCCUCACUAGCUGAAAAGAAGAAGGUUAUGUUCAUAACGGGUACAAUUAACACUUGAAAAACUAUACUUUUCAUCUACUUAGGUACUCAUUUCCACUAUGAAACCAUCAAUUCAAAUAAAAUUCAAAUUUAUUAAGAUCUUGACUUGACACCAACUUGGUACCAUAAUUUGAACGUUGUUCGAUUUCACAUCACAUAUUAUGCAUCAUCAAUGAUACAUAUAUGAUUUCCCUAUGAUUAAUUUUUGCAAACACAUGCCUGAAACUCUAUAUUCAUAGCUGAAAAAUGGACAUCUAACCAUUAUUGUAGGAGGGUCACGUUCUUACAUUGAAAUAUUAGUUGAUGACCCAAUCAUUGAAUUUUGUUCAAAAUGUUAUUGUUGUUUCAAAAAUCAAUCACAAUGAAAUCAUAAUCCUAAUUAUUGCUGACGCCUAAUAUGUGAUGUCGAAUCGAACAAUGUUCAUACUCUAAUACCUUGUUGGCGAAAGGUCAAGACCCGUAUAGACUUGAAUUUUAUCUGAGUUGAUGAUUUCAAAGAGGAAUCAAGUACUUAGGUAGAUGAAAAAAAUUAUUUUUUCCAAUUCCAAUUGCUUUCGUUAUGAACAAAACCUUGUUCUUUUCGGCUAGUAUAUUGAGGAAAAAAAAGACAAGAUUUAUUUUAUUUUAUUUUUUAUGUAUAACCUAAGGAAAAGACAAUAAUACAAAUAAGGCUUAGACACACUUUUGACCCCCUAACUUUAAACUAGUUGCAAUCUUGACCCCCUAUUAAAAAAAAAACACAUUUCAGUCCCCUAAGUUUCCCCCUUUUUGCAACUUUCAAUUUUGAUCAUUCAAACUCAACCAUUUAGGACAAUAAAAAUAAGCGGGGUAUUUUGUUUAGCAAGUUUCAGGCGAUCUUGACCUUCUACCAUCUUGAAUGGUUGAUUUUUAAUGAUCAAAAUUAAAAGUUGUAAAAAGGGAAAACUUAAGGGACUCAAAUGUGUUUUUUUUUAAUAAGGGGACAUAAUUGCAACUAAUGUAAAGUUAGGGAGGCAAAAGUGCGUUUAAGUCUAAAAAUAAUUUAAAUAUACAACAAAUGAUUUUGAACUAGAAUUGAAAUGGAUUAAUCUUAUGCAUGUUGUCAAUAAGGAUACUAUGUAUAUGAAGAAGAGAAUCAAUUGAAACUUUAUUUGUGCUAUGUAUAAUGAUGUAUGAUAUAUGGAGAGAGGGACCACUAUAGGCGAGUUUGGAAUCAAUUUUGCAGAAGGUUCAUGGAGGGCGGGUUUAUCGUUGUAGGCGUGGUAGAGGUCUUAGGACUAUCCCGUAGUUUUAUGGUCUUGUAAUAGUAUUUUGAACAAAUUUGAUGUUUUUAAUUUGAUGUUUAAAUAUUUGUUUUGUAUCCUACAAAUAUUUUGUUUUUAAUAUUAUUUUUGAAAAUUGUGUUGUUUCUUAUCUUUUCAUUAUAAUAUUUUAUUUAUUCACAAAUGCAUGUUUAUAUCAAAUGAUUAUGUAAUCUGUAUGUAUUAGAGUGAAAACAAACUCUAUUUCUAUUCUAAUACCUUUCGGAUUAUAUAAUUCGAACAUUUUUAUGACAUUCAGAUUAUAUAAUCUUAAAUAUGCGUUUUUUUACACCACAAUUUCCCCUUCUGGGGUGUUUGCUGCAUUUUUCUAAGAAUGUUGAUUGUGAAGUGAUGGAUGAUCAAUAAUUUUGCAGAUAUAAAUGCAAAGAUGAUAAAUUUAAAUGAUUACGAAGAAAAGAAAAAAAAAAUCUCAGAUCAUAUAGAGCAUCCAAAAUCUCAAGGGAAACCCUACCUCCACUAUUAAGUUCUUCUUACUUUUCAUAUUCCACCUUUGAUAACCUAGGAAAUAAAAUAAAGGAAAAGAAUGAAGUUGUAAUUUUAUUGCAUUUUUUCUGGACCUAUACAACCACUAUAUGCUCACGUUCCUACUUAGAAAUUAAAAUUAAAUUGUUCUAAUUCAAUGUUAUAAUCAGAAAACUAGCUUUGAAGGAAGGAAAUGUCUUACUCGAUAUGACUUUGUCCACCGAAACUGACAUCAAGGGGGGAUCGAACGUGAAACUUUGAGAGAAACAAAUUCCAAGAUCACAAAUUAACCACAAGGUCAACCCCAAAUGAGUUUUUUUGGUUACCAUUAGAAAACCGUGUAUAUUUUAACAUAAUUUGGAUGAUUAAUUAUGUGUAGUAUAUGUGUAUUUAAACACUUAAAAAUGAUGGCUAAUUGUAUUCAUUUAAUGAUUAAUAGAUUGCUACCAAAUAUAAUUAACCACAUCUUUGCAGUUUGUUACACCCAAAAAACUAACCACAUAUUUGAACCAUGUUAACCAUCUAAUUGAUGUCAAAUUUGUUUGUCAAAGUAAUACAACUCAUCAUCGAUUUGUGAGUCUUGACAUUUUCUACAAAUAAAUGUAUACACAAACCGAUUGCUAUAAAUAUGAUACACUUAUUCUUUAUCCCUAUGAGGAGCCAAAGCCUGAAAAAAAAACUAGUACCAUACACGAUUGAUAUUUUUAGUUUUUUGGUCAAGUGGUUUAUAUUUAUGGAAGCAUUAAUAGUCACACAACUACACGUGGCAAUUUCAUAUUGGUGGCUAAAGAUAAGGCACCACAAAAAUUUCCAAUCUUGUUGUGUGGUUAAUGGCUGCAAUGUUUAUCAUUUUCACAAUCAAACAAAAUUGUAUUAUGCAGCAACCAGUUACCACAAUUUUUAGAACCAUAAUAUUGGAAAUACAAAAAUAAAGACAUUAUAUAUAGCAAGUUUGAGUAUAGGCUUUGAAAUUCAAGCAGAAGUAUAUCUUACAUUACUAGUGAACUAAGUAAGGGAGAAAAAAAAUGGCUUCCUCUAUGAUUUCCUCUUCAGCUAUGACUACAGUUAACCGCGCCUCUUCGGUACAAUCCGGCGCGGUGGCUCCAUUCGUUGGACUCAAGUCCAUGGCUGGCUUCCCAGUUACAAAGGUCAACAAGGACAUUACCUCUAUUACAAGCAAUGGUGGAAGAGUAAACUGCAUGCAGGUGAGAAAAAUAAUAGGCCUACUAUUUUAGUUUAUUAUUAGCAUAAUGGAAACAAUUUAUGACAUGUCUGUAAACUGUUUUCAUCUUAUAUUUUCAUAAGCUCUUCAGGAUAGUAGGAUAGUUUAUGAAAACAGCUUAUAGAUUAUAUGAAAAUAGCUUAUAGAUUCAUUGAGAAAUGCACACAAGUUUGUUAACCCUUUUGUUCAAUUUUAGGUGUGGCCUCCUAUUGGCAAGAAGAAGUUUGAGACACUUUCAUACCUUCCACCAUUGACCAGAGAACAAUUGGCCAAAGAAGUUGAAUACCUUAUAAGGAAGGGAUGGGUUGCUUGCUUGGAAUUCGAGACCGAGGUCUAGUUUUAAUUUAUUUUCAAUGCCUUUUCAAUGAACAUAUAUAUAGUUUUGAAUUUAGAUGGUUAAUUGGUUUGUCAUGGUUAAUCUACUUGCAGAAAGGAUUUGUGUACCGUGAGAACCACAGUUCACCAGGAUACUAUGACGGACGUUACUGGACAAUGUGGAAGUUGCCUUUGUUUGGAGCAACUGAUGCUUCUCAAGUGUUGAAGGAGCUUGAUGAAGUUGUUGUUGCUUACCCUAAUGCCUUUGUCCGUAUCAUCGGAUUCGACAACGUUCGUCAAGUUCAAUGCAUCAGUUUCAUUGCACACACACCUGAAGUUUACUAAGUUUGAGUAUUUAAUCACUCUCUGCUGCCACUGGAAGAACAUUUUUCGUUGUUUUUCGAUUUACGCUUUCGGAUUUCAAAUGCAAAUGUAUGGAUAAGAGUUAAUAAAUGAAAUGGUACUUUUAUUCAUUCUGAAAUUAGUAGGAUAUGUUGCUUACCUUGUAAUGUCUUGAACUUGAAAUUUUAACUAACAAAGGAACCAACAGUAUGAUAUUAAAGAAAGAUAAAUUACAUUUCCAGAUAAUUCUUUCUCAUUUUCACCAAAAUUAUGCACAAUCAGUACAUCUUUACAAGAAACUUUUUUGAGCAGAAAUUAUGAACUGCAUAUCGUUGACGCUCCAAAAAGCAAUCCACGGUCUCAAAGUUAUUUUCAUACGCUAAAUACUAGGUCUUCGCUUUUACCUUCUGAAUGACAGCCAAUUUACUCACUAUAUUGCAGCCAAUUCGAACUUUUAUGAAUGGACAAAAUACAUCGAAAUUGACCGUCAUAAUUUUAGGGAAAAAGUUUCAACCAAAGUUGUUGCGUGAUCUUACUGCCUAUUUCCGCAGUCGAUCAAGUGGUAGACUUGCUCACAAAACCUAUUGACCCUACGCCCUUUAAUUGUCCAGUCUUCAUCUGUUAGUAGAUAAUCCUUUUGUUUGGCUUUUCAAUCAUGUUUGUAUUUCCUAUUCUAUAACUUCCAUCAUGAAUAACAUUUUAAGUUCUUCACAUUUGAUAAUACCUUAGCUGAAAAAAUGUAAGGCUCUCUGCAUUGGUGAAAAUAUUUAAAAGAGUAAAUCAAAAUGAUACAAGAGCCAAAAACCAGAUUUUACUAUUCAGAGUUUGCUAUUUAUUUAUAGGGCAAUGCUAAACCGUGCCCCCAGAGGCAAUGGUUAAGCAUCCAAAACAAGAAAGUUUUCACAAAAAAAGUAAUGUAAUCGUUAUUUAGUCAAAAGUGAGACCUUAUGUUUCCAAGACAAAAUUUCUAUUCAUGGAUUCCUUAACCAAUGCCCAAGAAGCACUGGUUAACAAGACCCUUAUUUAUAACACUCCUUCUCAACUUAGUGAGUGGAUAUAAAUUAUUCCAAGCUUGCAAGUAAAAAGGUUGAAUCAUUCUGUCGGACAGAAAACUCUUUGUUAACACAUUUGUCUGUUGAUGCCCAAAAGGAACAUAAGCUGUAGUUGUCAGUUCUGUUGUGAAUUCGGUAACUUCAAAUCUUACACCAAUGAAAUUUAGAUUUGUGGUGAAGUAUCAAUGUAAACUAAUAACCACAAGCAACAACAACAAUUUUAGAUCUAAUCUAAAAACUAAGUGUAAAGCAAAACCACAAUCGAACAAAAGAAGAAACAAGAUAAAGAGAAUAGAGAAAAAGAGCAACGCCAAACAACCGUUUACCUAGUUCGGUCUAUCAUUGACCUACUUUGGGAAAGAGAUCAAGUUCCUUACAAAGAGAUACAAAAAAGGGUUACAAGAAAUUCGCUUCAACAAGUUCUCCAAGACAAAACCUAAUUUCUACCUUUUUCCCAAUCUCAUUCCAUGAACAAGAGACUCAAUGAUUUCACUCACCAAAGGUGUUUCCCAAUUGUUUUUCAACUCUAGAAUCUAACCCCCCAAAAGAGAACCAAUCCAUAUCCUUUGAUUUCCCAAAAAUAUUCUCUUUUGGUUUUCCAAGACUCACUCAAGUUGCUCGCAAAACUCUCCUUUGAUGUGUUUUCCAAAAGGGUCUUGUUACAAGUGUCCCCGGGACACUCUUUAAGCAUUCCAAAAUUAGUAAUUAUUUUUUAAAAAAGUUAAAUGUUUCGAUUUCCAAUGCAUUGAUUACACACUUUUUUAUAAAUACAUACUACUUAUAGUCCUUAAAGAGUGUCUCAGGGACACUUGUUAACAUUUCCCUUUCCAAAAUUGUGCCCCAAUUUUCCAAUUCAUACACGAUCGAUGCAAGGGAAUGUUAUCCAAAAUCAUACCCCAAUUUUUGUCGAACCAAAACUCCAAUUGAACUUCACAUUGUAUCUUCAAAUAUAUAUUCCAACACUUGUUUCAUCCAUAAUAGCUCACAAAUUCCUAGUGCCAUAACUCUAUAUUUUUCCUCAACGAUUGAUCAAUCAACUACACUUUACUUCUUAUUCCUUCAAGCAAUAAGGUUCUCACACAAUAAUGUACAAUGGUUAGAAGGAAAUCUUCUACUUGCAUGACCCACCCGCAAACCGUACCGGAUCCUCAUGGAAUAUUGCAUAACACUUUAUCGUUCCAACUUAUCACUUGGCUGUAUCAAUUUGUUUGAUAAAGUUUCAUCUGAAGUAUAUACUAUACACACACAAAAAUAAGAAGAAUUUCAAAAUUCAUUCUAAUACUCACAGCACAUUCCUAAAAAAAUAUAUAUAUAUAUAUAUAUACUCAUAGCACAAUAUGUGCCUAAUAUUAAGAAUAAUAACAACAGUUUAAAAGAUCGAACGACAUGUUGUUAAAGCCAAUGAUUUAACAAUUAACACUGAUUUUAACCAUAGAUUUGAACCUGAUUAUGCUCUAUAAAAAAUAAUAAAAUGAACAACACCUUUGUAUUUUGACACAUGUUAUAAACACAUCACUAAAACAGCACAAUCAACUUUCAUUUCGACUCUUUUUUGUUCGCAUCAAAGUUAGCUAGGAAAUAGCAAGCACAAAUGUACUUUUAAUACAAACAAUUAAUGGAGACGGAAAAAUCAAUUGUAGUUUUAUAACCAAUAGAUAGCCAAAUCCUAUCCCAUAAACAUACUCCAUAAUAAACAAACCAACUAUGAAUGAACAUAAGUUAUCUAUUUUAGAAGCAUUCAUCAUCCAAUAUACAUUAUAAUUCAAGCCUUAAAUGCUAACACAUUUAAGCUUCUUUGCCAAAAAAAAUUCAAUCGUUACUUUCUUCACAAUAUAGACCCUUCAAGAACAUCAACUUCUCCGUGGAUAACUCUUUAGAGAUAACACAUGCAAAACAAAACGCGGCAGUUGGAGAGCAAAUAACAAAAAGUGAUGAAGAUAGUAAUGGAGAGCAAGCAUGGAAACUACAACAAAAGUAUAUAUAUAACCAGCCUUCCUUCAUCAUACGUAUAAAUAGGACAAAAUAAUCCUUUUGUAAGUUGGUUUGUGUUUUAGUGGUUCACUUAUUGGUAAAGCACAAUAGCCAUUGGAGGUACUAUCUUGUUCCAAGAUUAAUUUACAUGCUAGAGAAACAAAUAUUGGAGUUCCUAGAAGAAAAAAGAAUACGGCAGUUGAUGUUGAUGUGGGCGUGAAACAUUGAUGGAAUGAAAAUGUGAUAGGCAAGAAUUGGAGUCCCUAGAAAUUAGAGUUCCAAGGUUAGCUUGCAUAAGAGAACGGACGAAAGGAUGGAAUGGAUGAUUAGGAAAGUUGAACAUUCUUGAUGAGGCCAAAGACAUUGAAUACAUAUUGGCGCCUUCCUCGUCUCUAAUAUAUAUGCCAAUACCUACUCGAUUGUCAUUAUUUGAAAAAGAAGCGUUUAUGUUACAUGUUUAAUACAUUUAUUACUAUAUGAUAUGAAUAUCUCUCAUAUUCUUAAAAAAAUAAAAUCUCACAUAUUUAUUUGAUAAUUAUAAAAUAUAUUUUUCAAUUAGUUUUUCUUGUUAAUGUGAAUAUGAUUUGAUAUAUAUUCGGUAAUUAGUUGAAAGCAACAUAUAUAUUAGAAAAUAUGAUGCAAUAAUAUUUUAAAUAAGUUAUAAUUUUAUUAUAUGGUCUAUGAAGCCCAGAUACAUGAUACGAUUCGACACCGAUACGGGAAAAUUUUAAAAUAUAAGAUACAAUACGGCUUGGAUAUACUUCAAUAAAAAAUUAAAUUUAAACUACAUAUUAAAACUCAAAACACAAAAUAUGGACUAAAACUCAAAAGCAAAAAAAUUGGUGCAAAACCCAGACCAAACAAAAUAGAAAAAGGAUAAGGCACAACAAUGAAAUUGCCUUCACACAACAAUCAACAAUUUCAUCGUUCUCAAACAAACAAAGAGAGAUGAAAGAGACGACAACAACAAUAGAAAUAUAAAUGUAACUAAUAUUAAUAAUAAAGAAAGCGAAAAUUAGUCAAUUACAUAUGUGAUAUAUCCUAAAUAGAAAACAUCAUUACUUAGUCAAUUACAUAUAUACCAAAUAUGAUAGAAACAUCAGGUAGCCCGCACAUAUCAGUUUUCCACCUCCUAUCGCUCUUAUCCCAGAUGUAUCUGAAAAGUAUCGCAUAAUUGUUUUUUUAAAAAAAUAAAAUUUCAUAUUCGGAUACUCUCCUGAUACGUAUCGAGAAGUAUCAAGCAUGUAUCAGUGCAAGAUACACAGGGGAUAAUGUUCAUCAUCCAUUUUGAAGUAUCUGGACUUCAGAGUAUAUGGUACAAAAUAUACAUGUGAAUCAAAAAGAAAAUAAUGACGAAGAUUAUGAAGUUUUUGUGUUUUUUAAAUGUGUGAAAUUUUAUUAAUUUUUUUAUAAAAAAAGUUUAUUUAACUUUUAUAUUAUGAAAUUUAUAUCAUCAUAUUUUUUUAUAAAGAUUGGGUUAAUAGUUAUGCGGUCCGAUCAAUGACCAAUUGAUCCAACCAUUGACCUAAUGACCCAGUGUUUUGGCCGAAUCGACUACCGGUUCGGGUUUUUAAAACACCGGAUUCACUGCAAGUAUUGGGUCAUUUACUCAUGUAAUUCAUUGUUGCUGGGAUAACUAACAUAUUUCAGGUCCUCCUCUAUGUCUGACCCGAAUUCCCAUAUAGAGAGAUAUUUUAAAUAGGAACCAAACGCAAGUACUGGACAUAACAAUAUAAGAUAGAACAACACAUCAGAAGGUAGAACAACACAUGACAAAUUUUUAUGGCAUUGAAUAAUUUUUUGUUUUAUACAAUUUUUGGGUACGAAAUGCUAUUUUUGUAUUUUUGACAACCUGUACGUGAGACAAAAAGUUGUGAUGUGGUUUGAUGAGGGACAAAAAUAUCAGCUUUUGUCAUGUCCCUUGCCUCCAGUUUGUCCUGUACAUGAAACAAUUUUACAAAUCAAACACUGGACAACUGAAGUUGUUUUGUCCUAUCCUUUAUUUUUUAGCAAAUCAAAGGCACCCAUUAUAUUAUUUCAGUGUUUUAGCUAUUUCUAUCUCAUAGUGGAUUUUCGAUUUUGCCAAAACCGAAUCAAUUCAUUGUUUAAGAGGACUAUGAUUCAUCUCCUUCAUAGAUGCUUGCAAGUAUUCUUAGUUUUAUGUUCGAAUUAGGGGAUGUUUGGUUUCUUACUAAUCCGCGGUCAAUGUUUGAAUUUCUGUACUAAUACAUCCAUAAAAACUUGAUUUGUUUUGACAUGUGGACAAUAGCAAAAAAGUGUCCUUUUUUUAAGGAAAGCAAAAAAGUUUUUGAACAAGAGGAAAGCAAAAAAGUGCCCUUAGCAUUUAUUAAAGGAAUACAAAUUUUAGAUGGUAUUCUGGUUGCUAAUUAGGUAGUUGAUGAAUCUAAAAAAUUGAAAAAAGAAUUGCUUUUAUUUAAAGUCGACUUUAAGAAAGCAUACAAUUCAGUUGAUUGGAAAUAUUUGGAUGAUAUUAUGGUUACGAUGUUGUUUCCGACUAUUUGGAGGAAAUGAAUGAAAAAAUGUGUUGGGACUGCUACUGCGACUGUUUUAUUGAAUGGUAGUCCCACUGAGAAAUUCACUUUAGCUAGAGGUCUGCGACAGGGAGAUCCCCUUUCACCUUUCUUGUUCCUUCUGGUGGUUGAGGGGUUUCAUGUGAUGAUGGAGUCUAUUGUUAAUACUAAUAAUAUUUUUAGUGAUUACAAAGUAGGGGGUCGGCCAUUAACUAUUUAUAACCCUCAGUUUACGGAUGAUAACUUUGAUUUUGGGGGAAAGAAGUUGGGCUAAUGUUCGAGCUAUGCAUGUCACCCUUCAUCUUUUUGCAGCGAGGUCUGGUUUAAAGGUUAAUUUCCACAAAAGUGAGUUAGUUGGCAUAAACAUUGGUGGGUCUUGGUUAGCUAAAGUUGCGGCGGUUUUGAAUUGUAAGGUUACAACAUUGUUUGUUUUGUAUGUGGGCCUCCCUAUUGAUGGAGAUUCUCGUCGAUUGAAUAUUUGGGAACCGAUGGCUAAUCGUAUUAAGUCCCACCUGUCAAGUUGGAAAAGUAGAAAUUUUUCUUUUCCAUUUGUUUGGACAUGGAAGUUGGUGUUUUGGAGGUUAUGAGAAUCAGAGAGUUUAAUUUAACGUUGUUGGGUAAGUAGUGUUGGAGGCUGGCGGUGAAUUGAAAGGGUCUCUGGUUUAAAGUCUUGGUUGAGAGGUACGGGGUUGUUGGGGGAGGUUGGAGGAGGGUGGUAGGGAUGGAUGAGUGUGGUGGAGGGAGGUAGCAGGCAUCCGUGAUGGCGUAGGUGCGGGUGAAGGAUGCUGGUUCACUGAUAAUUUGCGCAUUAAGGUUGGUAAUGGUGCCACCGCUUUGUUUUGGUUGGAUAUGUGGGUGGGUGAUGUUCCUCUUCGGGACAAGUUUCAUCGUUUAUUUGAUUUAUCAGAAAAUAAAGACUCGCCUAUCGCUCAAAUAUUUUCGUUAGGGUGGGGUGAGGGAGGGGAGGCUUGGAAGUGGAAGAGAAAAUUAUGAGCGUGAGAGGAGGAGAUGGUAGAUGAGUGUAGGGUGUUACUGCUGACUGUUUCUUUGUAGGGUGAUGUUCAUGAUGUUUGGUCUUGGGGUCCUGAUCCAAUUGGUGGGUAUUCGGUCAAUGGUGCAUGAUGUAGGAGGGUUUCCAUAGUAUUUUAUUAUUUCAAUCUAAUUUUAUUAUUGGUUGUUUUGUUUUCAGUUUUUUUUUUGCCCAUUAGGGUUUUGUUAUUUCCCUAGUUAAGCUUUAACAUUGUAGGCCAAAGAGGCAACUUUUAUUCAUUCAAUAAUAUUUUAGAGAGUUUUUCUCAAUUUUUGGUGGAUUAUGGAACCCUAUUUUCACAAGUUCAUCGCUUACAAACUUGUUCCUUUCAAUCUAGGUUUAGCGCUUGCUAGCCUAUCCUUCCGUACUAGUCAGUUGGUAUCAGAGCAGGUUUCUCCUGUUCUUUUCCUAACAUGAUCAGCCAUAGGCCGGGCAGGCCUUGAGGGAGUGCAAGGUGCUCAAUCAAGCCGGGCCUCCAAAAUCUAUGGGCCUCCGAAAAAAUUAACUCUAAUACCCACCCCACUUAAAUAUAAAAAUAUAUAUGUUACUUCUUUACACGUUUGAGUUUCUUCUAGACUUUAGUUCUCCUAUCUGGACAUAAAUUUGGUACUAUCAAACCACUACCAAUUGGUAUAAUGACUUAAUCAGUCAAUUUGAAAAGUUAUUUCAUAGAAAGAAUCACAACAAUCAUUUCUUUUUCACAUAAACCAUUCGUUUUCCCCUUUCCCACAACGGAUAAUUGACAUAUUCAAAUGACACCGUUUGUAAAUUCUACCUCUCUUUCACUUAAUUUUUUUGUAUUUCGUUUCAUGUUUACAAGCUCUUCUGAUUCUGAUUUUUUAAUAAAGCUUAGCUACACAAAAAAAUUACGUUUUUAUUUUAUUGGGGAUCUAUUUUAAAUAGAGAGCCGAGCCUUCUAUUUCAUAGGGACGGCCCUAUAGGUGAUCAAAAUUAAAUGGAAAGUUUAGUCUUCUUUAUCAUUCCCUUCUUUUCAAUUAAAGUUGUCGUCCCUCUAAAUUUCCAUUCCCUAUUUCAAUUGUCGUUCAAGUUAUUAACUUCAUCCAAAGUCCAUUUAUUUCAAGUGCUGCUACAUAUUACUUUCUUUUUUCAAUCGAAUUGCUGGCUGUUGUGUAUCAUAUUUUGCUGGUGGCUGUUUGAAUUGAAUUUGCAUGGUUAGAAAUUCAACAUUAUGUCGUGCCCUUAUAAUCUACCUCCUCCGGUCCUAUAUAUAAGAAACAAUUUACUUUUUUGAUUCAUUGAAUAGUUGAUGUAUUUGGUCUAUUUCUGAACUAGGUACAUCAAUUAUUGAAUGAAUCUAAAAAGUUAACUUUUUCUGAUAAAUAAGACCGGAGGUAGUAUAUGAUUGCCGCAACCAUUCUUCUUUUUAAUUAAAGUUUCCAUCUAAUUAAAUUUAAUCCAACCAUGAGAGAUCAACAGGUCGUGAUUUUAACUGCGGCCAUCAAAGCACUAUCAGAUCAGAUGGCAACGUUGAUAGCUAAGGUUGACGAGAUAAAAAACAGUAACAACAACAGAAAUGAUCCGAACAGAGGAGGAGGAUCAAUUCCGGUUAUUAGGGUUCGUAAUAACAACCAUAUUAUUGUUAUGUAUCGAAAAUUAGAACAUACUCGUGAAGGUGAGAAAAAACACAAGAAGGGGGGGUUGAAUUGUGUUUUCUUUUUCUCUCUAAAAAAUACUUCUUCUGAUAAAAACUUCAGAAGCAGUUUGUGAAUGCUUCUGAUGAAAUGAUCAGAAUCAGAUAUGCAGCGGAAAAGAUCAAAGCAGAGAAAAGAAAAGCAAGACACAAGCAGUUAUCCUGGUUCCUUCCACAAAAUGGAAGUAGUCCAGUCCCCCUUGCACUUCCAAGGAGAUUUCACUAUAAUCACAAAGAUUACAAAUGCUCAAUACUCUCUAAGUAUGAGACUUCUCAAAAAUGCUCAAGCACACACGCAAGAGUCUUCCAAUGCUCAAGCACUAAGCAAGAGUCUUCUAAUGCUCAAGCACGCAGGCAAGAGGCUUCUGAUCAAACAAAAAUACAAUGAAUUAAGUUUGACUUGAACACUUGAUAUACAAUCAGUGGUGUUCACAAUACAAUACAAUAAAGACUCUAGACUUUUGAAUUUCUAAGAUGUAUCAAAUCAGUGCAGAAAUUCAGUGUGCUUUGUAGAAUCAAAUUGACAGAGUUUUGGCGCUUUUUAACUUGUGUAUCUCUAUCUACAAUCUUCAAGUCUUCACUCCUUUAUAUAGAGGCGUGAAAGAGACGUUGAGAUAAUUAGCACGUCUAAAGAGUCGUUUGAAAUCCUUUGAUCAUUCACCAGUAAUCCUUUGCCUGAUUUGGGUGUAGUCCUUUGAAGAAUUAGCUUCAAAUUCAUUCCCAUCUUGAAGGCACAAAUUCUGCAGGCAUAGCUGUUGUCUUGUCUUGUAGCGUGGACAAAACAGAGUAGUGGAGGUAGUGGUUGUACACUUGUACUUUGUCAACUCUGUUAACGAAGGACAAAUACUCAGUGCUAUCCAAAUGACCGUUGAUACCUCCCUUUCAAUUCUUCGUUCUUCUUAGAUAAUGUUGAAAUGAGAAACAGCUACUUUGGAUCUUCAGUUUGAAUUUACGGAUAAAAUGUAGCUUCUGGUGAUGAUAUCGCUUCUGAUGAAAACCUUGCUUCUGAUGAGCUUCUGCUUCUGAUGACGUCAUCACUUCAGAUGCACUUCAGCUUCAGGAGCACUUCAAGCUUCAGACGCAGUUUUCUUCAGAUGCUAUGAAUUCCUUUGCUUUCCAUUGUUCUUCCAAGACCUAUUGAAAUUACUUGACUAGCAUUUGGUCCUGUAUACUUGAACAAUAAUUAGAAAUAACCAAUUGACAAUUUUUAAUACCUUGUUAUCAUCAAAACUCAUUAAGGUUCAUUGUAAAACACAUUUUGUUCCAACAACUCGUGAAUCUGAACAAGUUGAAGGAUGAUCAUUACGAGUUUAAAAUCUCCGAUUCGAUAUAUCGUUGUCCGUUUUGUUACAACAAGGAUUCCUUGACCGACCUUUUGAGACAUGCUUUUAGAAUUGCAGGUAACUUGCGUAAGACGGUUAAAGAUAUUGCCAAACAUUCAGUUUUGAUAACAUACAUUCUAAGGUAUCAUAAUGUUAAUGUUGAUAAAAAUAAGCCACUUGAUGUUAAUAUUGCUAGUGAUAGCCACUUGGUGUCGGUAUUGCUAGCGGUAAGCCAGUUAAUUUGAGUGUCGUUGAUCAGAAGUCGCUUGGUAUGAAUGUAACUAAGUGUCAGCUAGCGAACGUGAAUGUUGUUGAUAGUUUUGUUGCCACAAUGGAAGAAUACAUUAAGGAAUCCACCAAUGAGAAGAUUUGUACAACAUAUUUCUCUAAUAAGAAGCCGCGGUUAUCCUCCGAUGCAUGCUCAGAGAUGCCAGAAAUAAUUAUCACCGAAAUUGAGAGUACGAUGGAUGUUAAUCCUCCAGAAUCUGCUGCGAUAAUCAUCCAGGCUUCAAUUAGAGGAUAUUUAGUUCGGAGAGCACUUCUAAAGAGUAAGAAUGUAGUGAAGUUGCAAGCUGUUGUUCGCGUUCACUUGGUUAGAAGGCAUGAUGUUGGAGCAUCGCGAUGUAUUCAAGCUAUUACUAAAAUGCAAGCUCUGUUUUCAGUUCCGAAUCACAAUUCAACAAUGGGAUUAGGAGUCAAUAUUGCAAGAAUGAAAGGGGGUGAAAUUUAAGGAAGAUGAUUCCCAGAGUAUUGACUGUGAAAUAGUGGAGAAAAUGGAAGCUCGAUAAGUGCCAUAAUGGUUAUUCGUGAAAUAGAUGAUGGUCAAUAUUUGAUGCUUCGGAAUAUGUUACCUCUGAUGUGAUUCAAACACCACUUGAAGUUUUCAAAAGCAUGGAAGCUGAUGGGUUUCCCAUUAAGCGUGGUCGUGUACCCAUCACCUAUGCACCUGAUAUUUUGGAAAAUAAUAUUUUGCUUCUGCCAAAGAAUCUGAGCGUUAUGAAUGUCACCAAACCAGAGUUCACCAAAGAUCAAAAUGUAUAUCCUAAUCAAAGCACAAAACUCUAAUGGGAUGAGAAAUGGAAAUAGUUUUGAUGCUGGAACAGUUCAUACUACUAGUUUGGACAUAACUUCUUUGAAUUUCAUUCAAUGGGAUCGUGGAGGGUGGUCGCUUUGUUCAUUGGAGGAGUCAACAUUCAUGGGAAGCUCUUUAUCAGAAUAAGAACUCGGGCUCGAGUUCUUCAGAGGUGGAGGAGACUCAUGCACAAGAGUUUCCAUAGUAUUUCAACCUAAUUUUAUCAUUUGUUUGUUUUGUUUUCAGUUUGUUAUUUUUGGCCCAUUAGGGUUUUGUUAUUUUCCUAUUUAAGCUUAAUAGUUGUAGCCUAAGAGACAACUUUUAUUAAUUCAAUAAUAUUUUAUAGAGUUUUCUCAAUUUCUGGUGGAUUCCGGAACCCUAUUUUAACAAGUUUAUCGCUUGCAAACUUGUUUCUUUUCAAUCUAGGUUUAACGCUUGCUAGCCUCCGCUUCCGACUGCGUCAAUGCAUACCGUAUUCUGACUGACGCGAACUCCCUCCACACUUUCAUUCCAUCAGACUUAUUGUGGAGAAAGGAGUUCACGUUGAAGGUCUCAGUGUUUGCUUGGCGACUAUUUCAGAAUAGAUUAUCAACAAAGGGGAAUUUAUUUUGUCGCGAGAUCAUACCUCAUGAGUCUCAAUUAUGUGUUAGUGUUUGCGGUAAGGAGGAAACAACCCAACUUUUAUAUUUAGGUUGCAUAAUGUUUGGUUCUAUUUGGAAACUUGUUCGAAAUUGUCUUGGAGUUCAUUUGGUCGAUCCGUUGAAUAUUGUUGAUCCGUUGAAUCACGUCGGUCAUUUAUGUUCUUGAUUUGGUUUGCGACUUUUUGAUCGAUUUGGAAGGAAAGAAACAUCAUGAUUUUCGAUGGCAAAGAAAAUGCUAUAUAUAUAUAUAUAUAUAUAUAUAUAUAUCUUUUUGAUAUCUUAAAGCAAAAGGAAAAAAGGGUCCUUAGCCAAUCUUUUAAGAAAAAAUAAAAUAGGGCUUAAAUAAAUUUUUGAUUGCAUAAAAUUUUGCAUUUAGUUCCUCUAAAAUUGAAAUUCUUAAAACUAAUGAAUAAAUUUAUUUUGUAUUUGGGGUUUAGGGUGUCACAUAGAUAAUUAUAUACGAGGUUUUUUUUAAAGGAAUUUAUAUAUAAGGUUAUAAUUGCACCAACAACAUAUUUUUCACCCGGAAAAAAGAGAGAAAGAAAAGGUUGUAAUUACAUGUUAUUAAAAAAAGAUAACAAUUUAUUUAUGGAAUUUUUUCCUAACUACUUUCUAGAUAAACGUAAUACUUUUUUUUUAUUUUUUUAUUUUGACCGUACUUUCUAGAAAAACGUAAUUUUUUUUUUAUUUUGAUCGGAAAAAUCAUAAUACUAAUUAUUUACAUUAAUUUUAUACGAUUGAGUCAAACAAAAAUUUAUUGCAUGUUUCCUUGAGAGAGGUAUAUAUAUAGCACAAUGGAGGUCAUAUUCAUCUCAAACAAAACAUUCAAUUAAAUAAUAUAUUACUAAAAAAAUGAAGUUCUCACACUACAGAAGAGUUUCAAUCAACCCUCUUAGUUAAUGUAUUUCGAUUGUAGUUCAAAAUUAUUUGUUGUAGUCUUGUAUUAAUUUUUUAUGUUUUUUUUUCUUCAGAUUAUACAUCAAAAAAAUCUCAUGGCGUUCGCUUCCUCGUCGCUAGCUGAAAAGAAGAAGGUUAUGUUCGUAAUGGGUGCAACAUACAUCGGAAAAACUAUACUUUUCAUCUACUUAGGUACUCAUUUCCUCUAUGAAAUCAUCAAUUCAAAUAAAAUUCAAAUUUAUAAAGAUCUUGACUUGACACCAACUUAGUACCAAAAUCUGAACGUUGUUCGAUUUUCACAUCACGUUAUGCAUCAUCAAUGAUCCUGAUAUGAUUUCAUUGUGAUUAAUUUUUUGCAAACACAUGCUUGAAACUCUAUAUUUAUAGGUGAAAAUUGACACCUAACCAUUAUUGUAAGAGGGUCACAUUCUUACAUUGAAAUAUUAGUUGAUUACCCAAUCAUUGAAUUUUGUUCAAAAUAAUAUUGUUGUUUUAUUUAGCUUGAUGCUUCUUUGCCUCGUUUGAUUUAAUAUUUAUACAAAAGAGGAGACCAAAUGGUUGAGGCAGAGAUUGUGGAUGAAAUUAGAGAAAAGGAAAAAUUGGAUUCCUAAGCUUGAUUGUUAUUUUGAGAUUGAAAAGGAAAAAUCUCUAAUCUUGUACACAAGACCUGCCUCGACCACUUGAUAAACUCUUUUGUCUACGUAUUGAAACAAAAUAGGCAAAUAAACAUCUAGCCAAAUGAAACAACAUUAAAUCUUUAAACAAAAUGUAAUAAUUGCAUCAUCAACUAAUAUUUAUAAGUGAGAAUUUUCCCUCCUAUAAUAAUGUCUAGGUAACAAUUUUCAACUCUGAAAUAUAAAGCUUCAAACAUGUGUUUUCAAAAAUCAAGCACAGUAAAAUCAUAAUCAGAAUUAUUGGUGAUACCUAAUAUGUGAUGUGGAAUCGAACAAUGUUUAUAUUCAGAUACCUUGUUUGUGACAAGUCAAGAUCCUUAUAGACUUAAAUUUUAUCUGAGUUGAUGAUUUCAUAGAGGAAUCGAGUAUCUAAGUAGAUGGUAAAUUUAUUUUUUCCAAUUCCAGUUGCUUCCAUUAUGAACAAAACCUUAUUCUUUUCAGCUAGUAUUGAGGAACAAAAAACCAUGUUUUUUUUUUUUUUUUUUAUGUAUAACCUAAGGAAAUGACAAUAAUAAAAAUAAUUAAAAACUACAACAAAUGAUUUUGGACUAGAAUCGAAAUGGAUUAAUCUUAUACAUGUUGUCAAUAAGGAUACUAGUUAUAUGAAGAAGAGAAUCAAUUGAAACUUUAUUUGUGCUAUAUAUAAUGAUUUAUGAUAUAUGGAGAGAGGGACGGCUGAAUAUGCAAAUUUGGAAUCAAUUUUGGAGAUUCAUGGAGGGCGGGUUUAUCAUCUUGGGUGUCGUAGGGGUGGCUGAGGUUCUAGGGCUACCCAAUAGUUUUAUGAUGUUGUUGUAGUAUUUUGAACAAAUUUGAUUUUUUUAUUUUAUGUUUGAAUAUUGGGUGUUUGUAACAUAUGGAUAAUUUGUUUUUAAUUUUAUGUUUGAAAUUGUGUUGUUUUUGAUCAUUUUCAUUAUAGUAUUUAUUUAUUUAUUCACGAAUGCAUGUUUAUAUCAAAAGAUUAUAUAAUCUGUAUGUAUCAGAGUGAAAAAAACUCUGUUUUUGUUAUGAUACCUUUCAGAUUAUAUAAUAUGAAAUGUCAUAAAACAAUUCGGAUUAUAUAAUCUAAAAUAUGCCUCUUGUGGGUUGUGGGGUGUUUGACACUUUUCGGAUUAUUUAAGCCAAAUUAUUUUAAGAAGUUUCGGAUUAUAUAAUCCAAAACGUAUGUUUAACUGAGACCUACACAAACAUCUCUAGGGUGCUUUGUCUUCCAAUAGUUUUUAUACUGAUUGGAUUAUAUAAUCCGAACCUAAGGUAUUUUGAGAAAAAAAAUAGGGCGCUCAAGAACCAAAUAGGGUGGAAAAAGUAAUGGCUAAUAUUGAUUGCCCCAGUAAGGAGCCAGAGCCUGAAAAAAGUACCAUACAUGAUUGAUAUUUGUGGAGGCAUUAAUAGUCACAAAACUACACGUGGCAAUUUCAUAUUGGUGGCUAAUGAUAAGGCUAGCACAAAAAUUUCCAUUCCUGUGUGGUUGAUAUGGCAGCAAAGUUUAUCAUAUUCACAACCAACAAAAUGGUAUUAUGAAGCAUUACCACAAUUUAUAAGACCAUAAUAUUGGAAAUAGAAAAUUAAAAAUAGUAUAUAUAUAAGUUUGAGUAUAGGUUUUGCAAUUCAAGCAGAAGUAUAUCUUACUAGUGAACUAAGGGAGAAAAACAUGGCUUCCUCUAUGAUGUCCUCUUCAGCUGUGACUACAGUUAACCGUGCCUCUUCGGUACAAUCCGGUGCGGUGGCUCCAUUCGUCGGACUCAAGUCCAUGGCUGGCUUCCCAAUUACAAAGGUCAACAAAGACAUUACCUCCAUUACAAGCAAUGGCGGAAGAGUAAACUGCAUGCAGGUGAGAAAAAACAUGCCUACUAUUUUAGUUUAUUUGAGUUUGUUAUUAGCAUAAUCGAAACAAUUUAUGACAUGUCCGUAAACUGUUUUCAUCUUAUAUUUUCAUAAGCCCUUCAAGAUAGUUUAUGAAAACAGGUUAUAGACUAUAUGAAAAAAGUUUGACUUUAAUUUAUCUUUUGUCAUAAAAAUAACUUUUACAUAUUUAGAGAUUCGUUGAAAAAUGCACACAAGUUUGUUAACCAUUUUGUGCAAUUUUAGGUGUGGCCUCCUAUUGGCAAGAAGAAGUUUGAGACUCUUUCAUAUCUUCCACCAUUGACCAGAGAACAAUUGGCGAAAGAAGUUGAAUACCUUAUAAGGAAGGGAUGGGUUGCUUGCUUGGAAUUUGAGACCGAGGUCUAAUAUUACUUGCAAUAUCUUCUCAAUAUUUAUAAUCGUUGUUUUGUCACGGCCAAGGUCACAGUCACAAAUUUGUAUUUAAAACCCUUUUAAUUUGUGUGUGGCCGAUGUGGCCUCAAUUGCUGUCGAACUGCGGUUUCAAUAACAUCAAAAACCGUUAUGUCGCGACCCUGAUCGUGGUCACGGACCUUUAUUUAAAAUCCAUUUGAGUUUUGAUGGUUAACAUAUGUUUGUUUUGACUUCUACUUGCUUACUUGCAGAAAGGAUUUGUGUACCGUGAGAACCACAGUUCACCAGGAUACUAUGACGGACGUUACUGGACAAUGUGGAAGUUGCCUUUGUUUGGAGCAACUGAUGCUUCUCAAGUGUUGAAGGAGCUUGAUGAAGUUGUUGUUGCUUACCCUAAUGCCUUUGUCCGUAUCAUCGGAUUCGACAACGUUCGUCAAGUUCAAUGCAUCAGUUUCAUUGCACACACACCUGAAGUUUACUAAAUUUGAGUGUUAAAUCACUCUUGGCUACCAUUGGAGGAACAUUUUUUUCGCUCUAUUUGUUCUGUUUGUAAUUUCCUUUUAUUUUUUUAAGGAAAUGUCGUACUGUGUUUUUCAGUUUUACCUUUCGGAUUUUAAAAUGCAAAUGGAUGGAUAAGAGUUGAUAAAUGAAAUGGCACUUCUAUUGAUUCUCAAAUUAAUAUUAUCUAUUGUUUUUAUGAGGUUAUUAGGCAAACUUUUACCAUUGCAUUCCAAAAAGUCUCAAAGCCAUUCGUGGUCUGAAAAUCAUCUUCAGACGCUAAAUAUCAGGCCUCUUACCUUCUACUGUUUGCAAUGGCUUACAUACCUUCAGUAUGAUUCCCAUUUACUUUUCAUUUUCCAAUCUUUAUUAUACCGUUGAUGGCCGGUCUGCUCACUACAUCGCAUCCAAUUCUUCCCUCUAUGAACGAACAAAACACAUCGAAAUUGACCGUCUUGUUAGGGAAAAGGCCUCAAUCGAAGUUGUUUCAUCUACUGCUUAUUUUCAUAGUUGAUCAUUUCCCAAGCUGAAAAUGCUAAAUGAUCAUAUACAAGAUUGUGACUGCACAAGUCCCAUCUUUUUCGGGACACUUAAUGAUUUCUUUUACCAUUUUUUAAUCCUAUAAUAAAGUUUGCAUGGUAAAGGUUAGGGGCACAAACAGAUUAAACAGUCUUGGUUUGAUUUUAUAUAAAAUAAUUUUUUUUAAAUACUUGAUUAUGAACUGAUUAUAAUAAUUUUGCUGUGAAAUAAAAAUGCAGGAUGAUAAUAAUUUUAAUGAUUAUGAAGGGAACAUUUUCUCAACUUACAUUGACAUCCAAAAUAAAAGAGAGGACCUGUUGAGAAUAAUAUGUAUAUAUCCUUAGAAGAUUAUAAAUGUAAAUUUAAAUAUAUUUAAAAUAAGAUAUCAUUAAGAUAUAACUAAUCAUUAUUGGUUGUAUUACAUUACAUCCUUUAACAGCAGCGCUAGCAUUGGAUAUUGAUCCAAGUACAAUGUGAGUGUUAGCAGAGCCGUUGUAAGACCCACGCGUGUCCGGCGGUUACGAAAUUAUAGGAAGUGUAAUCGUCGGGGAGAGAUUCGCGGAAACAUGGGAAAGAGACGUUACAGUUCGUUUGAACCGGUCUCUGUUGCUCCGAGUACUCCCUCGCGGGGAAGGAGAGUGUUGCGAGUAAUAGUACCAAAUGCAGUAUUUGGGUUGUAAUUGUUAUUGGGCCUAAGCAAUUGGGCCUUAGGUGUUUGGCCGGUCCAAAACACUAACAAAUCCAAAACUCUUUUAAAACUAGACUAUUACUUUUACCACCCUCCUCUGUGAAGCCUAAUCAGAUUUACUUUAUAUGUUUUUGAUGAUGUUCUUUAGCUUAGUUUAUCGUUUUAAUAAUUGCCUUAUGGCUAGCAUGUUAUAGCAUCCAUCAUCUAUGUGUCUUGAUCUAGGAUUUACUUGCGUCUUGUGCAAAAGUGUCAUUGUUCAUCUUUUGGCAUAUUGAAUCGAUUCAUCACUAUCAAUUACACUCAAUCAAUUCAUUUGAAGGUUGAAUCAUAUCAUUCUUCAUCCUUGACUCACUUAAAUCGAUUCACUUAUGCAUUGAAUCGUUUCAUCCUUCAUGCGUUCUUGGGUUGUCUUUUGCUAUCUGAAUCGAUUCACUCAUUUAGUGAAUCGAUUCACCAUGUUGAUUUUGUGCGAAAAUUUUGUCUUGUCACUUUUCUCUAUAUAGAGUCUUCCCUUCAUAUCUCUCAAUUUAUUGAAUCAUUUGCAACUAUUCUCUCUAGGCCUCAAAAACUCUUUGCACAUAAAUUCUUCAAGAUUAAACACUUUUUCUUAGAAUCAUUUGUUCUUUGAGUUGCAUUGAUUUGUUAGGGUACUAGUAGGGAUUGUAAGUUUGUUCUUUCAAGAAAAUUGAUUGGGCUUAAUCAAGGUUUUAAAGUGAAGUGAAUAAUCUCAUUCCACCUCCAAACGACUUGGGGGUCUUUCUAACCGUUCUUGAAGUCCAAGGGGAUUCGCUUACCAGACGUAGCAUUGAAGGCUCAACUGAAGAGUUCGAAGGGGUGCACGGGUAUUCAAGGAUUCAAAGAUUCAAGGAGCACCAAAUUCAAAGGUUAUUUGAAGUUUGGGAGAAUGUUUGCAUAGGGGUUGAAGAAUUAGGUUUAAUUUCAAGGAACUCUUGUAAACACAUUGUAUUUAACAUUUGUUACAUAGUGGAUGACCUUGGUGAAGGCGUACUUCAUCAAGAAGAGUAGACGUAGCUCUAGAGAUGACAAGAAAGAGCAAACUACAAUAAAAAUAUUGGUGUUAUCUCUCUUCCCCUAUCACCUUUACUUUUUACUAUUGCAUGUGAUUAAUUGAAUAGUUGUUAGGAUAAUUGCUAGUGUUGAUCUAAGUUGUUUUUCAUCAAAAGAUAAUCUAAUUCAUUGAAUUAGGUUUUACCUAAUUUGCUUAGAUCAAUUGAUUGCAACAUCUAUUCAAUUCUUCAGUUUCAUAUGCAUUGUGUUUUCAAUUGAUAGCUUAGCAAUUCUGUCCAUAUAGGUUUGGUUUGAAAUUGUCUAAAUGUUUUGUAUAUUGUUCAAGGUUUAUUAAAGUUUGAUUGUAUAUAAUAUUUGUAUCAUGAAUCUCUGAAUUCUAGAUAAAAUCGUAUCUCACAUAGAUUUAUCUUUUUGUAAAUUGUUGUGAUUGUUUCCGCACGAUUUCAAUAGUCAAUUUCGUUAAACUCCCUUUUUAUUAACUCCGGAAAAACUCCCCCCUCCCCCCCCCCCCCCCCCCCAGCUUAAAAACUAAUUAGCCAUAUAGACCAACACUCUAUUCUAGCACGCCCUGCUAAAAAGACAGAGAUACCUUUGGUCCUGAUUAUAUAAUCUGAACCAGAUCGUUGGAGUUUUUCGGUUUACAAAAUCCGGUCAAUUUCAAAAUGUGAUUUUUGGUGUUUUCUUUGAAGUCAAAGGUCUCUGUUGACCGUUAUAUAACCCCCGCAUAAGCUGCAAAGCAAUUGUUGGGUGAAGUGAAGAAUGAAGAAAUUUGUUGAAGAUGGAAGCCUAUUUAUAGCCUAAAAUAAGUCAUAUGUCAUAAGUACAGUCAAUGAAAACGUGUUUGUGGUGCUAACCAUCCAAAAAUGCAUUAAUGGCUCCACUAACCAGCCAAACCUUUGGUGAAACGCCACCGUCCAAAAGAAACUGAGGGUUUUCGAAUUAUAUAAUCUGAAAAUGACAAAAAGAUUCCAGAUUAUAUAAUUCGAACAACAUCAGAAUGCCUAUUUGGAGGGUUUUUUUUAGAGAGAUUUUUUGGAAUAUGACAUAAAAUAAUUAAUAAAUGGAUAAAAAAAACAAGUAAGCAGUAGAAAACAACAUAAACAACAAAAUAUUUUAGGAUAGUGUUCUAAGUGGUGCUUUUGAACUCGAUCUAGCUGGCCUGCCAACUGACAUAUUUCUAUCGGAAGGCCAACUGGAUCGAGCUCAUAAAAACCUUUUCGGAUUCUAAUCUGCAACAUAACGUUGAAAGACAAGGUGUUUCCAGAGGAUAGUUUUGAGUUAGAUCCGGCUGCCUUUCCAAUUGAGAUAUUUAUAUCGCAUAGGCAGAACAAUCUAGCUCAUAGCAACCUCUUGGUAUUCAAAUAGAGAGCAACAUCUUUGUAUCUAUCUAUAUAUUUUUGACAACAUGCUGAAGAUCUACAUAAUGAUGUCAAAUAAAGAGCUAUCUAUUUGAGACAACAUUAGGUAGAUCCUCGGCGCAAUGACAAAAAAUUCAUGGUUUCUUUGGUGUGUUUGGUUGUAAUUUUGACAGCAUGCUGAAGAUCUUCAUCACGCAGUCAAAUAGAGAGCUAUCUAUUUGUGAUCGUGAGAGAAAGAUCAUAUGUUUAAUGACAAAAAUUUGCAUGGUUUUCUUUGGUGUGUUUGUGUGUUUGGUUGGAAAUGAAGAUGAAAACCGGAAAUACUUAUUUAUACAGGUCUCUGGACAUUUUGGACCAUAGAAACUGUCGGUGCAUUGUGAUUCAUACAAAAGAAUCCUAUCUGAAGGAAUUCGGAUUAUGUAAUUUGAAUUGCACUUACAGCCUAUAAAAUUGAUUUGAAUUCGGAUUAUUUUAGCAUUUAACUAAACAUAUUUGACGUAAAGUAACACAUAAUGAAAAUUUAGAUAAUAUAUAUAUUAUUUAAAACAUAAUAAAACAUCUUAGUUGAACAAAAUAUAACUUACACGUAAUUAAAUAAAACAUAAAACACGUAACUAAAUAAAAAAUAGUACAUCAUCAUAGAUCAUUUAAACUAAUGUCUUCGUCUGGUGCAUCCAUUAAUUAGUUCCCUGAUCUCUUCGUAGUUCCUGGGCCGGAUCAAAAUUUGUUGAAUAUGUUAAACAAAUCUAACCAACGAAGCAUCCAACUUGAUUGGUCCUCUAGUACUGUACUGACCAAAGAUCGAGAACAUGGUUCUCACCUCGUCAUCUUUUUUGAGCUUCAUCCUGCUGAACUACACACUCCCGGCUAAGUCGGUCGAUGGACAUCGAUACUCUACAUCAUCCACUGAUGUAGUAUUUUUGCAUCAAACAAUUGUAAGUAUUUAUAUCGUCUCCUCAGGGACUAGUGCGAUAUCGCGGACCGUUCGACACCAAAUAUCAUUUCAAGUUAAACGAUAGUUGAUUGUUUGUUUUAGUAACUGAAUUGCAAAUGAUACAAUUGAGAUUAAUAGGGCGUAAAACUUGUUAGGAUUAGAGUUCCUUGAUCGAGCGUCGCACGUAACCUAAUGAGCAUACAUGGAUUCUAGCUUGUCUUUGAUAUUAUCACGUAUCCCUCGACAACACCAUUCGUGUCCAAACAAUAUUGUGAAAUCAAUUGUAUCAUUCAAUGGUCGAUGUCUCAAACUAUUGAAUGAUUCAAGAGUCGAUCUUAUCGUUCAAUCGAUGAUUUCUCAAUCUAUUAAAUGAUAAGAAAGCUUUAGGUUUGGAUACUCAAGGUGAUUAUCAAAACAUCGAUUCCAUGUCUAGAAACUAUGUUUUGAUAGAUGGUUAUUCUAAACCUAGAUUCAAAAGUAUUUCUCAAUCACAAUUAAAUCAAAGAUAAAGAUUAAAGUGCAAGAAUAACCUCAAUAUCAAUUCAAAUGCUAGAACCAUAUAUUUAUAGAUCAAACGAUUACAUGUUAAACUAUGAUCAAGUACCUCUAAUCCCAACAAAGGAGAUUUAGCUACUCAUUGUCAUGGAAGCCUUGCAAGAAUGAAUUGAAGAAGCAAGAUUCAUUACAACUUGUGAUGUCUCAACAAAGGAUGAAGAAUCCACUCUCUAUCACUCUCACUCUAUAAAGCACAAGCCCUAUCUCUCUCUCUCUAAGAAUAUUACAAGUGAAAACACAGAGAGAAACUAAGUGAAAAACUAUGUAAAAACUAUCUCCCUCUGAAAUGGUUGAGUGGGCUAUUUAUAGAAUUCUGAGUCUGCCUUCACUCGCCUCGCGAGCUGCUUCAUUCGCCAUGGCGAGUUGAAGUUUCUUCCCCAUUGGGUUUGUGCCACGUCAGCAUUUAGAGGCUAAACCGCCCUUACUCGCCUCGCGAGUCCUUCCAUUCGCCAUGGCGAGUAAGCUCGCCUUCUACUCGCCAUUGCGAGUUGGUGGCGUGUGAUCUUUGUUGCAUUCUGGAAUUGCUCGCCUUUGCUGCUUGCCAUGGCGAGUUGGAGGCGAGUGAUCUCCUUUUUCUGCCUUUUUGUACUUUUCUCGAUUUUCUUCUCUUUGCUUGAUGUCUUGAGUUCGAAUCCUGCACAAAUGGGUGAAGUAAGAUAGAUAAAGCGUAAAAGGGCAAUAAUCACUUAUUUCUCGGCUUUUCCCUUAAUAACUUGCAAAACAAGUAACAAAAGUGCCUAAAAUAUAUCACUUAAAUUACAACUUUCUAGCACUUAUCAUCCACCCUCCGUGUGUCUUUGUAGUUGAGUUUGAGGUUAAUUUGAUUCAGCCGACUCUUCAACCCGGAGAGGGUGAGAUCAGUGGGAAUCUUGAACAAAUGGGAUGGUUUCCCCUCGUUGUAGUAAACUACGGCUAGCUUGGUGUUCGGAUCAAAGACAGAGUUUUCCAUGGUUUUUUUGUGUGUGUAGUUUCUGGUUAUGAACACAGAGACACCUAUUUAUAGAGGUCCAUGGGCGUCCUGGACCAUAGAAAUUGUCGGUGCAAUGUGGACCACAUGAAAAAAAAUCAUGUUUCAGAUUGUAUAAUUCGAAAUGUCCCUCACCCCACAGAAGGUGGGCAGUUUCCUUUAAUUUUGCCCAGUAUCCUAAAAAUUCGGAUUAUAUAAUCCGGAAACCAUGGGAAGUUUUUGGAUUAUAUAAUCUGAACUGUGUCAGUUUCUUUUGGACGGUGGUCUGCACCACAAGAAACACGUUUUCAAUGGUUUUUACCAGCAUUAAUGGCUGAUAAAAGUCCUUUGAAACACAUUUUUGACUCACCAUUAAGUUUGUAAUUGCACCAACAACCCAUUUUUAACCUGAAAAAUAAGAGAAAAAUAGGGUGUAAUUACAUGUAUAAUAAUAGGUAACAAUUAUUUAUGGAUUUUUUUUUCUCUAAAAUACUCUCUAGAAAGACGUAAUACUUUUUUAUUUUGACCAAAAAAACAUAAUACUUUUGCUUUUACAUUAAUUUUAUACAACUCAGUCAAACAAAACCUUAUUCAACGUUUUCUCGAUAGAAGUAUAUAUAGCACAUUGAGGUCAUAUUCAUCUCAAACCAUAAUAAAGUUUUAAGCAAAAGAGAAGUGCUAUAUGUCCCGAUAAGAGAUAAAGUUUUAAGCAUGCACUUUGACGGAAUACAAGGGUAGGUGGGCAAUAAAAUAGCUUCGUGAGACAAUCGGGAUGUAUGGUCUCACGAUAUUAAGCAAUUUCCAAUUCAAAAAUGAAGUUCUCAUUUUACAACAGAGUUUCAAUCAACCCUCUUCUUAGUUAAUGCAUUUCGAUUUUUAUUUUAAAAUUAUUUAUUGUAGUCUUGAAUUGAUUUUUUAUUUUUUUUUCUUCAGAUUUUACAUCAACAAAAUCUCACGGCGUUGGCUUCCUCCUCACUAGCUGAAAAGAAGAAGGUUAUGUUCAUAACGGGUGCAACUAACACUGGAAAAACUAUACUUUUCAUCUACUUAGGUACUAAUUUCUUCUAUGAAAUCUUCAAUUUUAAUAAAAUUCAAAUUUAUUAAGAUCUUGACUUAACACCAGCUUGGUACCACAAUUUGAAUGUUGUUCGAUUUCACAUCACAUGUUAUUAUGCAUCAUCAAUGAUCCAAAUAUGAUUUCCCUGUUAAUGAUUUUUGCAAACACAUGUCUGAAGCUCUAUAUUUAUAGCUGAAAAUGGACACCUAACCAUUAUUGUAGGAGGGUAAUGUUCUUACAUUGAAAUAUUAGUUGAUGACCCAAUCAUUGAACUUUGUUCAAAAUGUUAUUGUUGUUACAUUGAAAUAUUAUUGUUGUUUCAAAAAUCAAUCACAAUGAAAUCAUAUUCAGAAUUAUUGGUGACGUCUAAUAUGUGAUGUGGAAUUGAACAAUGUUCAUCCUCUGAUACCUUAUUGGUGAAAGGUCAAGACCCUUAUAAACUUGAAUUUUAUCAGAGUGGAUGAUUUCAUAGAGGAAUUAAGUACCUAAGUAGAUGGAAAAUUUAUUUUUUCCAGUUCCAGUUGCUUUCUUUAUGAACAAAACCUUGUUUUUUUGGCUAGUAUAUUGAGGAAAAAAAGCCAAGAAAUAUAUAUAUAUAUAUAUAUAUAUAUUUUUAAUGUAUAGCCUAUGGAAAAUACAAUAAUACAAAUAAGACUUGGAGACCCUUUUUGCCCCCUAACUUUGCACUAGUUGCGAUCUUGGCUCCCUAUAAAAAAAAAAAAACACAUUUCAGCCCCCUAACUUUUCCCUUUUUGCAACUUUCAAUUUUGAUCAUUCAAACCCAACCAUUCAUGACAGUAAAAACAAGUGGGUGUUUUUGUUUAGCAAGUUUCAAAUUUAUAGGGCAAAGAAUACGACUUGAGACUUGUUUUUUGACUUUCUACCGUCUUGAAUGUUUGAUUUUGAAUGAUCAAAAUUAAAAAUUGUAAAAGGGGAAAACCUAAAGGAUUGGAAUGUGUUUUUUCUUAAUAAGGAGACAAAAUCGCAACUAGUGCAAAGUUAGGGAGGCAAAAGCGCAUUUAAGCGUAAAAAUAAUUAAAAACCACAACAAAUGAUUUUGAACUAGAAUCGAAAUUGAUUAAUCUUAUACAUGUUGUCAAUAAGGAUACUAUGUAUAUGAAGAAGAGAAUCAAUUGAAACUUUAUUUGUGCUAUACAUAAUGAUAAAUGAUAUAUGGAGAGAAGGACCGCUAAACAGGCGAGUUUAGAAUCAAUUUAGCAGGAGGUUCAUGGAGGGCGGGUCUAUCGUUGUAGGCGUGGUAGGGAUUGUAUCCUACAAAUAUUUUGUUUUUAAUUUUAUGUUUGAAAAUGGUGUUGUUUCUUAUCUUUUUCAUUACAAUAUUUUAUUUAUUUAUUCACGAGUGCAUGUUUAUAUCAAAGGAUUAUAUAAUUUGUAUGUAUCAGAGUGAAAACAGACUAUUAUUGUUAUGAUACCUUUCAGAUUAUAUAAUUGUAACAGUUUUAUGACAUUUCAGAUUAUAUAAUCCGAAAUAUGCGUUUUUUUACAUCACAAUUGACCCUUUUGGAGUGUUUGACACUUUUCAGAUUAUAUAAGCCAAAUUAUUUUAAGGAGUUUCAAAUUAUAUAAUCUGAAACGUAUGUUUAACUGAGACCUACACAAACAUCUCUAAAAUGUUUUGUCUUCUAACAAUUUUUAUAUUGUUUGGAUUAUAUAAUCCUAAACGUUGGUCUGAUUAAUAAAAUUUGAACGAAAAGUAUUUUGAGAAGAAAAAAAAUAGGGUGCAAUAACCAAAUAGCGUGAGAAAAAUAAUGGCCUUAUUGAUCACCCCGUAAGGAGCCAAUGCCUGAAAAAAGUACCAUAGAUGAUUGAUAUUUGUGGAGGCAUUAAUAGUCACAAAACUACACGUGGCAAUUUCAUAUUGGUGGCUAAUGAUAAGGCUAGCACAAAAAUUUCCAUUCCUGUGUGGUUGAUAUGGCAGCAAAGUUUAUCAUAUUCACAAAAUGGUAUUAUGAAGCAUUACCACAAUUUAUAAGACCAUAAUAUUGGAAAUAGAAAAAUAAAAACAUUAUAUAAAGCAAGUUUGAGUAUAGGCUUUGCAAUUCAAGCAGAAGUAUAUCUUACUAGUGAACAAAGUAAGGGAGAAAAACAUGGCUUCCUCUAUGAUGUCCUCUUCAGCUGUGACUACAGUUAACCGUGCCUCUUCGGUACAAUCCGGUGCGGUGGCUCCAUUCGUCGGACUCAAGUCCAUGGCUGGCUUCCCAGUUACAAAGGUUAACAAAGACAUUACUUCCAUUACAAGCAAUGGUGGAAGAGUAAACUGCAUGCAGGUGAGAAAACAAUAUACCUUGCUUUGUAUCAACUUCUUAACUUGUUUGGAUUGAGUUAUUUUAGUUUAUCUAAUGACAUUGAACUUAUGAGACUACUUGAGAGAGCUUAUGAAAACAAUUUAUGCUCAUAAAAUAUUUUCAGCUUAUUUCCAUAUGACAUGUUACUCUUUAUUAUUCACUUAUACUACAAAAUUGAGAGAUCCUUGUUAUGAUCUCAAUUUAUUAUAUUAAUGCUUUUGCAUGUCUUUUUUCAUUAGAUUUAAAAACGUAUAUGUUGCAUAUUUUGGUACUAGAAGGUUACUUGAAUAACACUAAAGGAUUCAAAAAAAAUUUCAAUUUUAGGUGUGGCCUCCUAUUGGCAAGAAGAAGUUUGAGACUCUUUCAUACCUUCCACCAUUGACCAGAGAACAAUUGGCGAAAGAAGUUGAAUACCUUAUAAGGAAGGGAUGGGUUGCUUGCUUGGAAUUCGAGACCGAGGUCUAGUUUUAAUUUAUUUUCAAUGCCUUUUCAACGAACAUAUAUAUAGUUUUGAACUUAGAUGGUUAAUCGGUUUGUCAUGGUUAAUCUACUUGCAGAAAGGAUUUGUGUACCGUGAGAACCACAGUUCACCAGGAUAUUAUGACGGACGUUACUGGACAAUGUGGAAGUUGCCUUUGUUUGGAGCAACUGAUGCUUCUCAAGUGUUGAAGGAGCUUGAUGAAGUUGUUGUUGCUUACCCUAAUGCCUUUGUCCGUAUCAUCGGAUUCGACAACGUUCGUCAAGUUCAAUGCAUCAGUUUCAUUGCACACACACCUGNNNNNNNNNNNNNNNNNNNNNNNNNNNNNNNNNNNNNNNNNNNNNNNNNNNNNNNNNNNNNNNNNNNNNNNNNNNNNNNNNNNNNNNNNNNNNNNNNNNNNNNNNNNNNNNNNNNNNNNNNNNNNNNNNNNNNNNNNNNNNNNNNNNNNNNNNNNNNNNNNNNNNNNNNNNNNNNNNNNNNNNNNNNNNNNNNNNNNNNNNNNNNNNNNNNNNNNNNNNNNNNNNNNNNNNNNNNNNNNNNNNNNNNNNNNNNNNNNNNNNNNNNNNNNNNNNNNNNNNNNNNNNNNNNNNNNNNNNNNNNNNNNNNNNNNNNNNNNNNNNNNNNNNNNNNNNNNNNNNNNNNNNNNNNNNNNNNNNNNNNNNNNNNNNNNNNNNNNNNNNNNNNNNNNNNNNNNNNNNNNNNNNNNNNNNNNNNNNNNNNNNNNNNNNNNNNNNNNNNNNNNNNNNNNNNNNNNNNNNNNNNNNNNNNNNNNNNNNNNNNNNNNNNNNNNNNNNNNNNNNNNNNNNNNNNNNNNNNNNNNNNNNNNNNNNNNNNNNNNNNNNNNNNNNNNNNNNNNNNNNNNNNNNNNNNNNNNNNNNNNNNNNNNNNNNNNNNNNNNNNNNNNNNNNNNNNNNNNNNNNNNNNNNNNNNNNNNNNNNNNNNNNNNNNNNNNNNNNNNNNNNNNNNNNNNNNNNNNNNNNNNNNNNNNNNNNNNNNNNNNNNNNNNNNNNNNNNNNNNNNNNNNNNNNNNNNNNNNNNNNNNNNNNNNNNNNNNNNNNNNNNNNNNNNNNNNNNNNNNNNNNNNNNNNNNNNNNNNNNNNNNNNNNNNNNNNNNNNNNNNNNNNNNNNNNNNNNNNNNNNNNNNNNNNNNNNNNNNNNNNNNNNNNNNNNNNNNNNNNNNNNNNNNNNNNNNNNNNNNNNNNNNNNNNNNNNNNNNNNNNNNNNNNNNNNNNNNNNNNNNNNNNNNNNNNNNNNNNNNNNNNNNNNNNNNNNNNNNNNNNNNNNNNNNNNNNNNNNNNNNNNNNNNNNNNNNNNNNNNNNNNNNNNNNNNNNNNNNNNNNNNNNNNNNNNNNNNNNNNNNNNNNNNNNNNNNNNNNNNNNNNNNNNNNNNNNNNNNNNNNNNNNNNNNNNNNNNNNNNNNNNNNNNNNNNNNNNNNNNNNNNNNNNNNNNNNNNNNNNNNNNNNNNNNNNNNNNNNNNNNNNNNNNNNNNNNNNNNNNNNNNNNNNNNNNNNNNNNNNNNNNNNNNNNNNNNNNNNNNNNNNNNNNNNNNNNNNNNNNNNNNNNNNNNNNNNNNNNNNNNNNNNNNNNNNNNNNNNNNNNNNNNNNNNNNNNNNNNNNNNNNNNNNNNNNNNNNNNNNNNNNNNNNNNNNNNNNNNNNNNNNNNNNNNNNNNNNNNNNNNNNNNNNNNNNNNNNNNNNNNNNNNNNNNNNNNNNNNNNNNNNNNNNNNNNNNNNNNNNNNNNNNNNNNNNNNNNNNNNNNNNNNNNNNNNNNNNNNNNNNNNNNNNNNNNNCUCGCCAUUGCGAGUUGGUGGCGUGUGAUCUUUGUUGCAUUCUGGAAUUGCUCGCCUUUGCUGCUUGCCAUGGCGAGUUGGAGGCGAGUGAUCUCCUUUUUCUGCCUUUUUGUACUUUUCUCGAUUUUCUUCUCUUUGCUUGAUGUCUUGAGUUCGAAUCCUGCACAAAUGGGUGAAGUAAGAUAGAUAAAGCGUAAAAGGGCAAUAAUCACUUAUUUCUCGGCUUUUCCCUUAAUAACUUGCAAAACAAGUAACAAAAGUGCCUAAAAUAUAUCACUUAAAUUACAACUUUCUAGCACUUAUCAUCCACCCUCCGUGUGUCUUUGUAGUUGAGUUUGAGGUUAAUUUGAUUCAGCCGACUCUUCAACCCGGAGAGGGUGAGAUCAGUGGGAAUCUUGAACAAAUGGGAUGGUUUCCCCUCGUUGUAGUAAACUACGGCUAGCUUGGUGUUCGGAUCAAAGACAGAGUUUUCCAUGGUUUUUUUGUGUGUGUAGUUUCUGGUUAUGAACACAGAGACACCUAUUUAUAGAGGUCCAUGGGCGUCCUGGACCAUAGAAAUUGUCGGUGCAAUGUGGACCACAUGAAAAAAAAUCAUGUUUCAGAUUGUAUAAUUCGAAAUGUCCCUCACCCCACAGAAGGUGGGCAGUUUCCUUUAAUUUUGCCCAGUAUCCUAAAAAUUCGGAUUAUAUAAUCCGGAAACCAUGGGAAGUUUUUGGAUUAUAUAAUCUGAACUGUGUCAGUUUCUUUUGGACGGUGGUCUGCACCACAAGAAACACGUUUUCAAUGGUUUUUACCAGCAUUAAUGGCUGAUAAAAGUCCUUUGAAACACAUUUUUGACUCACCAUUAAGUUUGUAAUUGCACCAACAACCCAUUUUUAACCUGAAAAAUAAGAGAAAAAUAGGGUGUAAUUACAUGUAUAAUAAUAGGUAACAAUUAUUUAUGGAUUUUUUUUUCUCUAAAAUACUCUCUAGAAAGACGUAAUACUUUUUUAUUUUGACCAAAAAAACAUAAUACUUUUGCUUUUACAUUAAUUUUAUACAACUCAGUCAAACAAAACCUUAUUCAACGUUUUCUCGAUAGAAGUAUAUAUAGCACAUUGAGGUCAUAUUCAUCUCAAACCAUAAUAAAGUUUUAAGCAAAAGAGAAGUGCUAUAUGUCCCGAUAAGAGAUAAAGUUUUAAGCAUGCACUUUGACGGAAUACAAGGGUAGGUGGGCAAUAAAAUAGCUUCGUGAGACAAUCGGGAUGUAUGGUCUCACGAUAUUAAGCAAUUUCCAAUUCAAAAAUGAAGUUCUCAUUUUACAACAGAGUUUCAAUCAACCCUCUUCUUAGUUAAUGCAUUUCGAUUUUUAUUUUAAAAUUAUUUAUUGUAGUCUUGAAUUGAUUUUUUAUUUUUUUUUCUUCAGAUUUUACAUCAACAAAAUCUCACGGCGUUGGCUUCCUCCUCACUAGCUGAAAAGAAGAAGGUUAUGUUCAUAACGGGUGCAACUAACACUGGAAAAACUAUACUUUUCAUCUACUUAGGUACUAAUUUCUUCUAUGAAAUCUUCAAUUUUAAUAAAAUUCAAAUUUAUUAAGAUCUUGACUUAACACCAGCUUGGUACCACAAUUUGAAUGUUGUUCGAUUUCACAUCACAUGUUAUUAUGCAUCAUCAAUGAUCCAAAUAUGAUUUCCCUGUUAAUGAUUUUUGCAAACACAUGUCUGAAGCUCUAUAUUUAUAGCUGAAAAUGGACACCUAACCAUUAUUGUAGGAGGGUAAUGUUCUUACAUUGAAAUAUUAGUUGAUGACCCAAUCAUUGAACUUUGUUCAAAAUGUUAUUGUUGUUACAUUGAAAUAUUAUUGUUGUUUCAAAAAUCAAUCACAAUGAAAUCAUAUUCAGAAUUAUUGGUGACGUCUAAUAUGUGAUGUGGAAUUGAACAAUGUUCAUCCUCUGAUACCUUAUUGGUGAAAGGUCAAGACCCUUAUAAACUUGAAUUUUAUCAGAGUGGAUGAUUUCAUAGAGGAAUUAAGUACCUAAGUAGAUGGAAAAUUUAUUUUUUCCAGUUCCAGUUGCUUUCUUUAUGAACAAAACCUUGUUUUUUUGGCUAGUAUAUUGAGGAAAAAAAGCCAAGAAAUAUAUAUAUAUAUAUAUAUAUAUAUUUUUAAUGUAUAGCCUAUGGAAAAUACAAUAAUACAAAUAAGACUUGGAGACCCUUUUUGCCCCCUAACUUUGCACUAGUUGCGAUCUUGGCUCCCUAUAAAAAAAAAAAAAACACAUUUCAGCCCCCUAACUUUUCCCUUUUUGCAACUUUCAAUUUUGAUCAUUCAAACCCAACCAUUCAUGACAGUAAAAACAAGUGGGUGUUUUUGUUUAGCAAGUUUCAAAUUUAUAGGGCAAAGAAUACGACUUGAGACUUGUUUUUUGACUUUCUACCGUCUUGAAUGUUUGAUUUUGAAUGAUCAAAAUUAAAAAUUGUAAAAGGGGAAAACCUAAAGGAUUGGAAUGUGUUUUUUCUUAAUAAGGAGACAAAAUCGCAACUAGUGCAAAGUUAGGGAGGCAAAAGCGCAUUUAAGCGUAAAAAUAAUUAAAAACCACAACAAAUGAUUUUGAACUAGAAUCGAAAUUGAUUAAUCUUAUACAUGUUGUCAAUAAGGAUACUAUGUAUAUGAAGAAGAGAAUCAAUUGAAACUUUAUUUGUGCUAUACAUAAUGAUAAAUGAUAUAUGGAGAGAAGGACCGCUAAACAGGCGAGUUUAGAAUCAAUUUAGCAGGAGGUUCAUGGAGGGCGGGUCUAUCGUUGUAGGCGUGGUAGGGAUUGUAUCCUACAAAUAUUUUGUUUUUAAUUUUAUGUUUGAAAAUGGUGUUGUUUCUUAUCUUUUUCAUUACAAUAUUUUAUUUAUUUAUUCACGAGUGCAUGUUUAUAUCAAAGGAUUAUAUAAUUUGUAUGUAUCAGAGUGAAAACAGACUAUUAUUGUUAUGAUACCUUUCAGAUUAUAUAAUUGUAACAGUUUUAUGACAUUUCAGAUUAUAUAAUCCGAAAUAUGCGUUUUUUUACAUCACAAUUGACCCUUUUGGAGUGUUUGACACUUUUCAGAUUAUAUAAGCCAAAUUAUUUUAAGGAGUUUCAAAUUAUAUAAUCUGAAACGUAUGUUUAACUGAGACCUACACAAACAUCUCUAAAAUGUUUUGUCUUCUAACAAUUUUUAUAUUGUUUGGAUUAUAUAAUCCUAAACGUUGGUCUGAUUAAUAAAAUUUGAACGAAAAGUAUUUUGAGAAGAAAAAAAAUAGGGUGCAAUAACCAAAUAGCGUGAGAAAAAUAAUGGCCUUAUUGAUCACCCCGUAAGGAGCCAAUGCCUGAAAAAAGUACCAUAGAUGAUUGAUAUUUGUGGAGGCAUUAAUAGUCACAAAACUACACGUGGCAAUUUCAUAUUGGUGGCUAAUGAUAAGGCUAGCACAAAAAUUUCCAUUCCUGUGUGGUUGAUAUGGCAGCAAAGUUUAUCAUAUUCACAAAAUGGUAUUAUGAAGCAUUACCACAAUUUAUAAGACCAUAAUAUUGGAAAUAGAAAAAUAAAAACAUUAUAUAAAGCAAGUUUGAGUAUAGGCUUUGCAAUUCAAGCAGAAGUAUAUCUUACUAGUGAACAAAGUAAGGGAGAAAAACAUGGCUUCCUCUAUGAUGUCCUCUUCAGCUGUGACUACAGUUAACCGUGCCUCUUCGGUACAAUCCGGUGCGGUGGCUCCAUUCGUCGGACUCAAGUCCAUGGCUGGCUUCCCAGUUACAAAGGUUAACAAAGACAUUACUUCCAUUACAAGCAAUGGUGGAAGAGUAAACUGCAUGCAGGUGAGAAAACAAUAUACCUUGCUUUGUAUCAACUUCUUAACUUGUUUGGAUUGAGUUAUUUUAGUUUAUCUAAUGACAUUGAACUUAUGAGACUACUUGAGAGAGCUUAUGAAAACAAUUUAUGCUCAUAAAAUAUUUUCAGCUUAUUUCCAUAUGACAUGUUACUCUUUAUUAUUCACUUAUACUACAAAAUUGAGAGAUCCUUGUUAUGAUCUCAAUUUAUUAUAUUAAUGCUUUUGCAUGUCUUUUUUCAUUAGAUUUAAAAACGUAUAUGUUGCAUAUUUUGGUACUAGAAGGUUACUUGAAUAACACUAAAGGAUUCAAAAAAAAUUUCAAUUUUAGGUGUGGCCUCCUAUUGGCAAGAAGAAGUUUGAGACUCUUUCAUACCUUCCACCAUUGACCAGAGAACAAUUGGCGAAAGAAGUUGAAUACCUUAUAAGGAAGGGAUGGGUUGCUUGCUUGGAAUUCGAGACCGAGGUCUAGUUUUAAUUUAUUUUCAAUGCCUUUUCAACGAACAUAUAUAUAGUUUUGAACUUAGAUGGUUAAUCGGUUUGUCAUGGUUAAUCUACUUGCAGAAAGGAUUUGUGUACCGUGAGAACCACAGUUCACCAGGAUAUUAUGACGGACGUUACUGGACAAUGUGGAAGUUGCCUUUGUUUGGAGCAACUGAUGCUUCUCAAGUGUUGAAGGAGCUUGAUGAAGUUGUUGUUGCUUACCCUAAUGCCUUUGUCCGUAUCAUCGGAUUCGACAACGUUCGUCAAGUUCAAUGCAUCAGUUUCAUUGCACACACACCUGAUGUUUACUAAAUUUGAGAGUUUACUAUCUGCCAUUGGAGGAACAUUUUUUUUCUCUCCAUUUGUUCUGUUUGUAAUUUCCUUUUCUUUUUAAAGGAAAUGUCUCCAGUGUUUCUUCCGUGUUUGCUUUCGGAUUUUGAAAUGCAAAUAGAUGGAUAAGAGUUAAUUAAUGAAAUGGUACUUUUAUUCAUUCUCAAAUUAGUAUUAUCUAUUCUUUUUAUAUCGUAAAUUUGUUUGUUUCUUAAUCUUAACUGUGGAGCAAGUAGUCUAUGAGGUUAUGUAAUCUUAAAGUGCUAAACUGCACCUAUGCUUCUUUUUCAUUGAAGCUACUGAACUUUACCUAAUUGAGAUAUCUUUACCCUUGGCAACAAAAUGAGUAAAUAGAUGAAUUGGUCCCUAAUCGUGAGCAUUUUUGUCAAAAUAGUCCCUGAAAUAUGCUAUUUGACAAAUAAAUCCAUAAACUGUAACACAUCAAUCAGAAUGGUCUCACUGUUAGUUUAUUCCUCGAGAUACUAUGAUGUGGCGCGUUCAUUGAGCAUGUAGCAUUCCACCUGGAUGACCACAUGUUCGUUUAGCGCAUCAGAUCAUAGCCUUCCACAUCAGAGAUCAUUUGCCGAUUUGUACAAUUUAGAGACUAUUUGGACCGUUGUUUACAAUUUUGAAGAACAUAUUCUUAAUCACUCGACAACAUAUUUAUUUGCAGACCUAGCAAAGCUGCAAAUGUAACUAAACACAAAUUAGAGUCCAGUAUAGCCUUUUUGUUUUAGACAUUUAUUCACUUUUCUUUAUGUAAUUUUCAAAUCAUAUUGGUAAUUCAACAUAAAUGCAAGUAAGAUUGGACUUGAUGAAGCUCUCUUACCACAAAAAUAAAUAUUUUUUCUUGAACUACAAAUAUGAGGCCUCAUGGAUUACUAUUUGGUUGAUUAUUUAGCAAAUUAGAGGCCUUUAAGGUUUCACUAAAAUAUUGGACCACUUUUUGAUAGCAACAUUUAUGGAAAGAGGAUUUUAUUUCCACAACUUUUUUCAAUCUUUAUCAACUUUAUGCACAAUCAGUACAUCUUUACAAAAAAACUUGAACAUCAACUAUGAAAAGUAUAUAAUACAAUUAUGAAAAUAUAAAAAUUGAGUUUAUAAAAUGAAUAUGAGAAUAAAUAAUUUCUUGUGAAGAAGACUACAUUAGGAUAAGGAAACGUAUAAGACGAUUCAUUUAGCUACUUGACACAUCGUUGGCGCUCCAAAAAGCAAUCCACAGUCUCAAAGUCAUCUUUAUACGCUAAAUAUUCGGCCUUAGCUUUCACUAUUUGCGCUCCAUUUAUCUUUCAUUUUGCAAUCUUUAUUUUAUACCGUGACAGCCAAUCCGUUUACUCUAUUGCAGCUAAUUCCUCCUUUUAUGAGCGGACAAAACACAUCAAAAUUGACCGUGACAUGAAUAACAUUUUAUUUUCUUCACAUCAGAUAAAACCCUAGCUAAAAAUUUGACUUAAACAAUGUACGGUACUCUGCAAUGAUGAUUUUAUUCAUGGAUAAAGUGGAAAUAUUCUAAGGAAUCAAAAAAAAAAGUGGAAAUAUUCUAAGGAGUACAAGAAAAUGAUACAAAAGAGAUGUUACCCUAAAGAGGCACAAACAAGCUAUAUCUAAUAGAAGUGUAAUUUUGAGCACAAUCAGCAUAUCCCCUAAAUAUUCUUGCAAUAACUUGAAGUCCAAAUGAUUUCAUUGAUUCAAAAGAGAUGUUACCCUAAGAAACAGCUUUUUUUUUUGGCACAAAUGAUUUCUUUUACCAUUUUGCAACCCUAUGAUGAAAGUAAGGUUAGGGUCACUAAUAGAUUAAGCAAUAUUGCUUUAAUUUCUAUAAAAAAAUUGUUUAAAGAAUCUUGAUUAUGAACGAAUUAUUAAUUAUUUUGCAGCUAAAGAUGAUUAUUAGUGCAACAUUUCAUUGAUUUAUAUAGGCCACCAAAAUCUCAGGACGACCCUUCUUUCACAUAUUAAGUUAGUCUAACUUGGGAAAUAAAAUAUAGGAAAAGGAAGAAGUUGUAAAUAUCUUCAUUUCUAAUGGACUUCUCAAUCAUUAUCAAUUUAUUACUUAUUACUUAUCAAUCCAAUAUUUUUUUUUUGUUGCAGGAAUAUAAAACCAAUUUUGUAUAAACAUGAUCCUUCUAAGAAUUUUGAAAUUGGAUUAGUCUAAUUAAAUCUCACAAAACUGACUUCGAAGGUAGGGAUACAUUCUAUUUAUAAACAUUUUUUAGGUCAUAUCACAUCUAACGUAGAACUCUCAACAUUCUUACAUGAAUCGCACGAUGCAACUAGUUUUUUUUUCCUUCUGGUCAUCCCCUACAAAAAUUUCUAUCCUAUGCCUAUGAUUAGGAUGUUAAUGGCGUUUAUAUUUUUAGAUAGCAACACACUCUUCUAAUUGAAAUUCAAAUGGAUUUUACUAAAUCACGUAGGUUCCACGUAAAAAUGGCGGAAUUCCUAAAUUUCAAACAAAAGAAGUAUGUGUUACUAACAUAACUGUAUUAGUAUUAUUUUUCUUCAUGAUUGUAUAAUUUUCUCAUGUUUAGCACUAUAUGAAUGGAGCCAAAGUCUCCACAAAGGUACCAUCCAUGAUAAAGAUAUUUAUGGAGGGAUCAAUAGUGACAAAACUCCAUGAGGCCAACAUGCAUACAAUAGAAAAUUAUUUCAAUUUACAUUUUUUUAUAAAAAUAUCAACAUAACAACCAUCACACAUUUAUGUUCUUCACAAGUGAAGAUAAGAUUAGUAGGACAUCAUCCAUGUGGCAUUCACAUAGUGGUGCAUUAUGAUAAGGCCAGUAUACAAUUUUUUUUCCAAUCUCAUGUGGUUAAUAUGGAAUGUUUAUCAUUUUCACAAUCCAAAACCAUUGGUAUAAUUAAUCAGAAACCAAUUUCAAAACAUUAUAUAAAUAGCUAGUUUCAGUACUAGCUGUGCAACUCAAUUAUAGAACAAUGGCUUCCUCUAUGAUCUCCUCUUCAGCUAUCACUACAGUUAACCGUGCCUCUCCGGUACAAUCCGGUGCGGUGGCUCCAUUCGUCGGACUCAAGUCCAUGGCUGGCUUCCCAAUUACAAAGGUCAACAAAGACAUUACCUCCAUUACAAGCAAUGGUGGAAGAGUAAACUGCAUGCAGGUGAGAAAUACUAAGUCUAGUUUGAAAUAACUUUUAGUUCAAGUUUUCCAAUUAAAAUAUGUUUAAGCUUUUUUUGAAAAUUUUAUCUCAUAGAAAUUGUUCUACUUGAGAAUGAGAACAACGUAUAUUUAGUGAAAGCGUACUCUCAUGUUAUCUAAUCAUAUACUAUACUCCUUUGUUUCUAUUUAAUUAUAACUUUUUUUAGAAAAUUUUGUUAUUGUUUAUUUGUUGUUUUUAAAGUUUAAUGUAACACUAAUUACUAUUUAUUUGUUAGUAACAUUUUUAACUAUUUGUUACAAAAAGGGCAAUAUGUGAAAUGAGAUAGCAAAUCAUUAAAAAUAUUAUUAGAAAAAGCAAAAUAAUUUCAUCAAAAAUUACAAAGUUUAUAAAUUUGAUUGGUAUGUGUAAAUAACCUUAAAUCAUAACAUACCACUUUGAUAAAGUUUAUAUAUUUCAAUAAAUAUAUCAUCUUGUAAGAUAUGAUUGGACGAAUGUGUAAAACUUUGUACAUUAUUAGUUCAUAGUAUUUUAGUUGAAAUGAUUUCAUGUUUUUAACAUUAAAGUUAUUUAAAUUUAAACAACAUUAAUACAGUCAUUGGCCAUGCACAAUUUUGUUAAGCCAUUUACUUAAUCUUUUGUACAUUACUACUAUAUAGGUGUGGCCUCCUAUUGGCAAGAAGAAGUUUGAGACUCUUUCAUAUCUUCCACCAUUGACCAGAGAACAAUUGGCGAAAGAAGUUGAAUACCUUAUAAGGAAGGGAUGGGUUGCUUGCUUGGAAUUCGAGACCGAGGUCUAGUUUUAAUUUAUUUUCAAUGCCUUUUCAAUGAACAUAUAUAUAGUUUUAAACUUAAAUGGUUAAUCGGUUUGUCAUGGUUAAUCUACUUGCAGAAAGGAUUUGUGUACCGUGAGAACCACAGUUCACCAGGAUACUAUGACGGACGUUACUGGACAAUGUGGAAGUUGCCUUUGUUUGGAGCAACUGAUGCUUCUCAAGUGUUGAAGGAGCUUGAUGAAGUUGUUGAUGCUUACCCUAAUGCCUUUGUCCGUAUCAUCGGAUUCGACAAAGUUCGUCAAGUUCAAUGCAUCAGUUUCAUUGCACACACACCUGAUGUUUACUAAGUUCAUUGCACUGGAAUUUGGAAGAACUUUUUUCUUCUUCCCAUUUAUGUUUUGCUUUUAAUUUCCAUUUCUUUUUCAGGGAAAUGUUUUCCUUCUGUGUUUUUAUAUUUCUGUUUUUGGAUUUGAAAAAUGGGAUG
Molecule: long non-coding RNA, 45184 nt
Filed under: Medicago truncatula (barrel medic)
Lineage: Eukaryota; Viridiplantae; Streptophyta; Magnoliopsida; Fabales; Fabaceae
Description: long non-coding RNA (MTRU_LNC004624)
Source: RNAcentral